UUUUUUUUUGUUUCCGAGAGGCACGGCCGUGACUCUGUGAAAGCACAACCAUGCCUCUCGCGAAAGCAAAACCNNNNNNNNNNNNNNNNNNNNNNNNNNNNNNNNNNNNNNNNNNNNNNNNNNNNNNNNNNNNNNNNNNNNNNNNNNNNNNNNNNNNNNNNNNNNNNNNNNNNNNNNNNNNNNNNNNNNNNNNNNNNNNNNNNNNNNNNNNNNNNNNNNNNNNNNNNNNNNNNNNNNNNNNNNNNNNNNNNNNAAAAUAAUAAACGCGUUUUAUUUUCCGUUUCCGAGAGGCAGGCCGUGACUCUCGCUAAAGCACAACCCUGCCUCUCGCGGAAGAAAAACCAUGACUUUCACGAAAAGAAAAAAAGAAAAUAGAUUUUUUUCGCGAAAAAAACAUUAAUUUUUUUUUUAUCAAAAAGCUAAAAAAGACCCGGGAAAAAUCAAAACGUCGAAAAAAAAGAAAAAAAACUGUUUAAAAAGCCAAAAACGCGUGCGGAAAAAUAAAAAAUAAAAUUCAAAAGAAGCGUCCAGAACGUGACACGUGACGAAUGACUGAGAGUGCGCUAAAUGACACUGAUCGUUGGGAAGCUCCGUUAACUAGUUGCCCCCUAAUUAUGGUGACUGUUAGAAUUUCUCAAUCGUUGGCAGGGGCCAGGCCCCUGCUUGCCCGCCAGAGCUAUAUCCAUCUGACGCGAGGUGGAAGCUAAACUCGCUGAAGGGUGCGUGAAUAUGGGCCGGCCCAUCAGUGUAGGUUCGUUGGUUAUAGGUUUGCUCUGCCUCGUUUUCUCCGGGGCUUUUUGUUCUUCUUUUUCUUCCGUUUUCCUUUCAGUUUCUUUUGUUUUCUCUCCACUUUUCUUUGGUUUCUAUUUUUUCUUAGUCUUAACUGUGUAUUAUUUAUUUUUUACUGGUUUUCUUUGUUUUUCAGUGGUUUCUUUCAUUUAUCUUUCUUUCUUCGUACAACUUUACUUUCUUUGUUUCUUUCUUCAUUUUUCUUUGUUUUCUUCGUUUUCAUUUUUGUUGCUUUGUCGGUUUUUAUUGGUUUUUUUUUGGAACACAUGCCUACUCUUCUUCGGUACACAAUAUACAUUUUUAGUGUGCAUGUGAAACUUUCUUUAUACACGUUGAACAUUUUUUUCAAAUACACAAUGUUUACUUUCCUUUUAAUAUAUGUCUUGGACACUUUUUUUAAUACAUGGCCAAUACUUUUUCAAAUACACAAGUCUACAGUUUUCAUAUAUACCAAGUACAAUUUUUAAUACAUGUUUAAUAUUUUUCAAAUACAUGAUCAAUAUUUAUUCAAAUAUAUGUUUUGAUGCCUAUUUUAUUUUUCGUGCACAUUAUACAUUUUUUAUGCAUAUAAACAAUUCUUAUAUAUGUUUUAACAUUUAUCAAAUACAUUAUUAAUAUCUUUUCAAAACAUAAUUUUUGACAUUUGUCUGACACACCAGGAACAAUUUUAUAUACACAUUUAAAAAAAUCAACUGCAUGACUAAAUUUUUGAAAAUAUCUAUUUUAUUUUUUAUAUCUACCUGUUUCCAUACACAGUACAUUUUUUUAUACAUCAGCAAUAAUUCUUCUGUAUAUGUUUUUUCAUUCCAUGGUUAACUUUUUAAAAACAUAUAUUUUAUGUCAACUUUCCUUCACAGACAUUGUACAUUUUUCGUAUACGUUAAAAAAUGUUUAACCUUUUUCAAAAUGCAUGAUUAACAUUUUUCUGAAAUUUGACAUAAAGUGAUUUCUGUAUUACACAUCUAAGUAUUGCACACCUAAGUCAUACGUAGUUGAUUUUAUAUGAAGAUUUACGCAAGCAUUUUCUUUUGUCUUUUUUGUUUUUCUUUUUAAUUUGUUUGAGUCAUCUAGAUGUGCUCUAACAAACCUUCUUUAUAAGGGUGUAUUUAUAAGGACCCGUGAUACUCAAUACGUACUAGCUUUUGGCGUUUCCCAAAUAAAUAAAGUACCCACUUUGCUCUAUAAUUAAGAUUUUUUUUCAAAACUAUGAUAUAUUUUAUAGCAUUUUCGGAAACUAUAGCAUGAUUUUCAUAAAAAUCAAAAGUAGUAGCCCGUCGGCUCUUGGCCGAAAUAGGACUUUUCGGCCAUAGUUAGGCCGAAGUAGAGUUUUCGGCCCUCUCUUGGUCGAAGUGGUGGGGUCCUGGCCGAAAAGGCACUUUUCAGUCAAGUAUAGGCCGAAAUAGACUUUUUGGUCAAGCCUAGGCCGAAAAGUACUUUUUGGUCUCGUGUAGGCCGAAGUUGCAUGGCUCAUACAUUAGGCUGAAAUGUAUUUUCUCGCCACCCGUUUCCCGCCAACCCCUUCCCGCCAUAUGUUCCCGCCACCCGUUUCCCGCCAACCCCUUCCCGCCAACCCUUUCCCGCCAUACCGCAAUUAUUCUUUCCCGCCAUUUUCUCCUCUGUAUCUAUAAAACCCCCUUCCGGUGGAGGUGGAUAAGCAUUCCAGUGUAGUGUAGUCGAGAUGUCCCAUUAUCCAUUCGAUCGUAGUUUUCACCCUGAGAUGAGCAGCACUCUGCUGAGUCUAGCUACCGAUUUCAGGAUGGACAAUAGGAUAGUUCCAUGGGACGAACUCACCGGUAGUGACACCAUAAUGAAUGAGUUGGCUCACGAAUUACGUAGGUCUGGGUGGCCUGAAAGGACCUAUGAGGAGGUACGUAAAGAACUUCUUAGGUUGCAUGAAAGGUGGAAGAAGGUGGUGGAGCCGAAGAGUGAAACUUUUAGAAGAACUGCAGAAAAGCAUCCAUUUUUAUGGACUGAGGAGAGCGAGGACGACGAUGAUAUCUUCAUGCCGCCGCUUCCGGGUUCUGCAUCGUCGAAGGGCAAGAGUUCUGCAUCGUCCAAAGGCAAGAGUUCUGCAUCCUCGAAGGGCAAGAGUUCUGCAUCGACCAAGGGCAAGAGUUCUACAUCGACGAAGGGCAAGAGGACUGCAACAUCGAAGGGCAAGAGGGCUGCAUCAACGGAGGAUGACGAUGAUGACUUCAUGUAGUAUGUAAGAUGUAUUCCCGUUGUACCAUUUCAUUCAUGUGUAUUUGUAUUAUUAGUUUGUAUUGUAUUAUUGUAGGGCAUUAUGUUCUAUCUGAAUUUCAUUUUGUAGUAUGUAAGAUUAAUUGCACAAGUUCAGCUACACCGUUUAAUUCAGAUGUACUUGUAUCUUAAUUAUCGGUUGCAGUCUAUUUGGAAAUGUAACUGGAAUAAGAAUGUGAAUUAAUAGUAAUAUGUCUCUCGCAUACAUAAAACAAUAUAUGUCUCAUGAUCACAUAGAAGCAAGUGCGAUAGUAACACAUACAUGAAGCAUGUCUCAUACAUAAAUACUGACACACAGCUGUGAAUAGUCUGAAACUAACAUAGAUAAUGAGUCAUACAUAGAUAGAUAAGCAUAUCACUGCGGGGGACGACGACGAGUCUGGGUCUUCCUCGGGCGAGGACCGGAAGGCGAUAAGCGCUGAGGCGAUGGACGAGGCUCGCGAUAACCACGACCAUAGUUAACAUCAUCUGUCAUGGUCUGUGUCUCCUGCGUCGGUGGUGGUGGUGGAGUGUGAAACACUGUCUGCGAGAAGCCAUAAAUGUUUGUAGCUUGGUCAUCAUCCUCGCGGUCGCCCUCAAAGUACGAAGCACCACCACUAAGGAUCGGUGACUGCUCUGAAUGUAUGAACGGUUGCGACUGGUUGCCGCCUGCGGUAAAGUAAAACAUGUAAAAUUGAUACAAAUGCAUGAACGAAGCACCACCAGUAAGCAUCAGUGACUGCUGAGAAUGCAAGAACGAUUACUACACUGUUCAAAAGAAUGUAGUGAGUAGUGAUGAAGCUAUGUACCUAGGGUAGGGGCAUGGACCUGUCCAAACUGACCUACCCAAGGACAUCUCCAGAAGAAAUCAAUUUUCAAUCGACUUGGAGGUGUUCCACUCGACAGACUCGAAGAUACUCGACCAAGAAGCAACCACUCGACCAAGACCAAGCCACUUGACGGUUAGGAGGACUAAAGGCACUCCGCAUGCUAACGGUCGGUUAUUAAGUAGCUUUUAUGGUCAUCAUAGCACUUUAUUACUAGUGUUACCAGUAACACCCUGCCUUAAUGUACAUUGAACCAUUUGUAAUGUGGGCUGGCUGGGGUCCUGGCGCACUCUAUAUAAGCCGCCCCCUCCUCCGAGACAAGGGUUCGCACCCCUGUAAUUCAUACACGCAUAAUCCAGUCGACCGCCUCCGGGCUCCGAGACGUAGGGCUAUUACUUCCUCCGAGAAGGGCCUGAACUCGUAAACCUUGCGUGCUUACAACUUCUCCAUAGCUAAGAUCUUGCCUCUCCAUACUUACCCCCUACACUACUGUGAGACUCAGAACCACGACAGUUGGCGCUCACCGUGGGCCGGGUGUUUUAGCGUUUUGUUGGAGGAGUUGCAAUCUUUUCCGACCCGAAUCAUCAUGGUUUUCGGUGGAGUUUUGGUGGAGGGCCGCGAGAUCCGUCUCGGCGCGCUCACGUUCAUCGCCGACGACUCUGCUUGGCUUCAGGAGGCUCCGCUCGACGUGGACGCACUCCCUGUCCGCGGGGCAACGCACUUUAGCGCGUGCGUCCGCGGCGUUCUCCUGCGACAACCAUCGACCCCCUACCGGUCGGCUCCUGUGUUGUCCUCCUUCCCUGUUUCCCGCCGGCGCAAGCGCUCCGGUCGGUCGAGACUUCAGCGGUGGGUGAAACACGCGGUAGCACGCCAGUCGGCCACCCCUCAAGUCGCGGUGAUCGAGCCCGACGAAUCCCUCUACGGCGUGUUCGACCUAUUGACUGGCUCCGCAGAGACCGCAUCAGAGGGCGACAACAGCGAUCCGGCGGUGGAGGUUCUGAUGGUCGAUGGACCGCCCAGUCCUCCCGGUUUUCCCCGCACCGACGGAGGCGCGGGUGGAGGCGACCCAUCGCGUCCCCAUGAGGAAUAUCUUCAUAAGCCUCUCACGUCGCUGCAGAGAGAAGAACUUCGCCGCCGGAACAUGGAUGCAUUGCACACUCCUAUCGUUGGAGAAACCCCCGAGGCUCGUGCCUUGGAAGACGCGUGCCUGGCAAACUUGGCCGAGCGCACUCGACUGGAGAACCUCCAGCGAGCACUCGACGAGCGUGCGCGACAACGGGUUCCCGAAUCCAGUCGACGUCAGCUCUUCCCGCCCCCGCAGGUAUAUCGAACUCCGAUUCAGAAUUUAGCAGCUGCAGCCCGUAUAGCAGAGUCGAUUCAGCCUUCCCAGUCGGAGGCUGGCAGAGGCUUGCUGCAGAUCAGAGCGUUACUCCGGGUAGCGGGAGACCAGAAUUCCGCUGUUUCUUAGUCGCGGAACAGGAUUCACAGCAGAUCCGUUGCCGCGGACACAGUCCAGUCGGCUCAUAGCCCAAGAUCGCCCCCGAGGCGUGAAGGACAUGGGGACCGGCAUAAUCAGUAUGGGAACCGUGAGCAAUAUGAUCACCGAUUCGAUUGUGAUGAUCGACGUCGAGUGCCCACCCCUCCUCGAGGAGCGGGUCGUAUGCGCCUCGACAACAGGAUGACAGGCGCCCUCGUAGUGUUGGGCGAAGGAUUCCAGUCGACUCCAGGGAGCCAGGCUUUGAUGCGAGACCCAUUCUCGUUCAAGGUUUGGUCGACAGGAACAGAGCUCACCGGGAAGGUCACGACAGAGAUGCUCCUGCCAGCAGCAGAGCACAUGUUUCGGGGCCAGAGUGCUUUAGUAGAGCCAUCAGGGCCGCUGUGAUUCCUCCCAACUUCAGGUUGGCGACUGGAGUCAGCAAGUUCGCUGGCGAGUCCAAGCCAUGUUUCGGGGCCAGAGUGCUUUAGUAGAGCCAUCAGGGCCGCUAUGAUUCCUCCCAACUUCAGGUUGGCGACUGGAGUCAGCAAGUUCACUAGCGAGUCCAAGCCCGAUACUUGGCUUGAAGACUACCGAGUGGCCGUCCAGAUUGGCGGCGGCAAUGAUGAAGUGGCCAUGAAACACCUGCCUCUCAUGUUGGAGGGCUCGGCCAGAGCAUGGCUGAACCAGUUAGCACCCAGCAGCAUUUACACUUGGGAAGAUCUCGCCCGAGUGUUUGUCACCACAUUUGAAGGAACAUGCAAGAGGCCGGCAGGGCUGACGAAACUGCGGUCUUGCGUGCAAAAGCCGAAUGAAACCUUGAGGGAUUACAUUCAGAGAUGGAUCACAUUGCAUCACACGGUAGAGAAUGUGCCUGACCACCAAGCAGUCUGUGCCUUCAAAGAAGGCGUCAAGUACAGAGAACUGAAUCUGAAAUUCGGUCGGACCGGAGAUAUGUCUCUGAACCGGAUGAUGGAGAUUGCCACCAAGUACGCUAAUGGUGAAGAUGAGGAUCGACUCAGGAGUGGCAAGCUCAAAUCAGUCGCCCAAGAAACCGGAGGAAAUCCCAAUCGGAAAUAGAAGCAGAAAGCCGAGCCUACUGCUCCUGGGGAAGCCUUAGCUGUAACCCAAGGAAAGUUUAAAGGGAAACCUAAAGGACCUUGGAACCCCAAGAAAGUUAAAGACCAGGACGGAAAUGAUGUGUUGGAUUAGCCAUGUCUCGUCCACACCAAGAAAGAUGAAGAGGGUAAUUUCAUUUACCCGAAACAUACCACUCGACAGUGUCGACUCUUGAUCCAGCAGUUCCAGGGCAAGCAGCCCAAAUAUAAGGAAAAGGAGUCGGACAAAAUUGAGGACAAGGAAGAUAGUGACGACGGAUACCCUCAGGUCAAUUCCACUCUGAUGAUUUUUGCUGAUGUUGAAAGCAAAACUCGACUGAAAGUUAUCAACCGAGAGGUGAAUAUGGUCGCUCCGGCGACACCCAGUUAUCUGAAGUGGUCUCAGACUGCCAUAACAUUCGACCGGUCCGAUCACCCAACGCACAUUGCCACCCCUGGGAGGCAAGCUUUGGUGGUCGACCCAGUUAUUGAAGGCACUCGACUGACCAAAGUCCUGAUGGAUGGUGGCAGUGGUUUGAACAUAUUAUAUGCUGAUACGUUGAAAGGGAUGGGCAUUCCGAUGUCCAGACUCAGUGCCAGCAACAUGAGUUUCCAUGGAGUCAUUCCUGGGAAGAAGGCUGAAUCACUCGGCCAGAUUGCUCUUGAUGUGGUUUUCGGUGAUUCCAAGAAUUACCGCAAAGAAAAGUUGACAUUUGAAGUUGUAGACUUCCAGAGUGCCUACCACGCUAUUUUGGGCAGGCCGACUUAUGCACACUUCAUGGCCCGACCAUGUUAUGUGUAUCUCAAAUUGAAGAUGCCUGGCCCCAAAGGUGUGAUCACUAUUACGGGAAAUCGGAAGAAAGCGGAAGAAUGUUUUCAGAAAGGUUCGAAGAUCGCCGAUGCUCAGAUGGCAACAGUAGAGUUGAAGGAAUACCAGAAGACUGCAGACUCGAGUGAUUUGUUGCGAGCCAAGAAGCCCGCUACAGAAUCAACUUUUCAGUCAACUGGCGAUAUGAAGACAGCUCACAUCCACCCGACCGACCCCAGCGCUGCUCCAACUCAUAUCUCGACAACACUCGACUCCAAAUAGGAAGAAGCGCUCAUCCAGUUCCUCCGUGAGAACUGGAACAUUUUUGCAUGGAAGCCUUCUGACAUGCCGGGUGUUCCCAGGGAGCUGGCUGAGCACCGCCUAAGAGUUGACUCAAAAGUAAAACCUGUCAAGGAACAUCACCGAUGGUCCGCUGUCCAGAAGAGAAAGGCCAUUGGCGAGGAGGUGGCUCGGCUCUUAGCAGCGGAGUUCAUCCGAGAAAUCUACCACUCCGAGUGGCUCGCCAACAUUGUUAUGGUCCCCAAGAAGGACAAGUCACUUCGUAUGUGCAUUGACUUUAAACAUAUCAAUCGGGCCUGCCCGAAAGAUCAUUUUCCUCUCCCCCGCAUCGAUCAGAUAGUCGACUCGACUGCGGGAUGUGAGCGACUGUCUUUUUUAGACGCCUAUUCCGGGUACCAUCAGAUCCGUCUAUAUGGACCUCACGAGAUCAAAACAGCCUUCAUCACUCCAUUCGGGUGCUUCUAUUAUGUUACCAUGCCAUUCGGCCUCAAGAAUGCCGGAGCCACAUUCAUGAGGAUGAUUCAGAAGUGUUUGCUCACCCAAAUCAGUCGGAAUGUGGAGGCGUACAUGGAUGAUAUUGUGGUCAAGUCACGGAAGGGUUCCGACCUGCUGACUGACCUUGCUGAAACCUUUGCCAACCUCAGGAGGUAUGAUAUAAAGCUUAAUCCAUCAAAGUGCACAUUCGGAGUUCCUGGCGGAAAAUUACUCGGUUUUCUCGUUUCCGAACGGGGAAUCGACGCCAAUCCAGAAAAAGUUGGUACUAUACUCCGAAUGAAAAGUUCUGUGCGAGUGCACGAUGUCCAGAAGCUUACUGGUUGCUUGGCUGCCCUAAGUCGAUUCAUAUCUCGUCACGGUGAAAAGGCAUUGCCUCUUUACCGAUUGAUGAAGAAGUCCGACAAGUUCGAGUGGACUCCUGAAGCUAAUGCAGCGUUUGCAGAGCUCAAAGCUCUGCUCUCCACCUAGUCGGUGCUUGCUGCCCCAAUCAGCAAGGAGCCUUUGCUGCUUUACAUUGCAACCACAGGACAAGUCGUCAGUACGGUACUUAUGGUCGAGCGGGAAGAAGAAGGAAAAACCUUCAAAGUUCAGCGCCUAGUAUAUUAUAUUUCUGAAGUCUUGACCCCAUCGAAGCAAAGAUAUCCUCAUUAUCAAAAGCUUGUAUAUGGGAUUUAUAUGACCACAAAGAAAGUUGCUCACUACUUCUCUGAUCAUUCCAUUACAGCCGUCAGCGACGCUCCAUUGUCAGAGAUCCUGCAUAACAGGGAUGCAACUGGUCGAGUGGCAAAAUGGGCGAUUGAACUCCUUCCUCUAGAUAUCAAGUUUGAGGCAAAGAAAGCUAUCAAGUCCCAGGCAAUCGCAGAUUUCGUCACCGAGUGGAUUGAACAGCAACUGCCGACUCAGGUUCACUCGGAGCAUUGGACCAUGUUCUUCGACGGCUCCAAGAUGCUGAAUGGUUCCGGUGCCAGAGUGGUGUUGGUCUCCCCCAGAGGAGAUAAACCCAGAUAUGUUCUUCAAAUCCACUUUGAUUCCUCCAAUAACGAGGAAGAAUACGAAGCACUUUUAUAUGGGUUGCGCAUGACCAUUUCACUCGGUGUCCGUCGCCUCAUGGUCUAUGGCGACUCAGAUUUGGUGGUUAAUCAGGUGAUGAAGGAAUGGGACAUCAGAAGUCCAGCCAUGACUGGUUAUUGCAAUGCAGUGAGAAAGCUGGAGAAGAAAUUCGAGGGGUUAGAGCUUCAUCACAUACCCCGACUGAAAAAUCAAGCAGCUGAUGAUCUGGCAAAAAUAGGUUCCUAAAGAGAAGCCAUUCCCAGCAAUGUGUUUUUGGAACACAUCCACACACCAUCAGUUCAGGAGGAUCCCUUCACUGAAGAGGCCCCGCAGCCAAAAAGUGCCACGGAUCCGACUGAAGUUGAAAUUCCAGCUGUGGUCGACCUGAUCAUGGAAGACUUGUUCAUCACUCCCGUCUGGACAGUACCGUACAUCGCAUACAUCCUAAGGAAAGAACUCCCAGAGGACGAAGAAGAGGCUCGACAGAUCGUCCGCCGAUCCAAGGCCUUUACAGUCAUAAAGGGACAGUUAUAUAGAGAAAGCGCGACUGGGGUCAGCCAGAAGUGUAUUACACCAGAAGAAGGUCAGAUGAUCCUUGAUGAUAUCCACUCGGGGACCUGUGGUCAUCAUGCGUCCUCUCGGACCAUUGUGGCUAAAGCAUACCGAGCGGGAUUCUACUGGCCAAGAGCCAAUGAAAUGGCAAAAGAGAUAGUCGACAAAUGUGAAGGAUGUCAGUAUUACUCCAAUAUGUCGCACAAGCCCGCGUCAGCCCUGAAAACCAUUCCACUCAUCUGGCCCUUUGCUGUUUGGGGGCUGGACAUGGUUGGACCACUGAGAACGGGUAGGAGCGGCUUCACUCAUGUACUGGUAGCAGUCGACAAGUUCACCAAAUGGAUUUAAGCUAAGCCUAUCAAGAAUCUUGAUGCUUGCACUGCUAUCAGUUUCAUCAGAGAGUUGAUAUUCAGAUAUGGAGUUCCGCACAACAUCAUCACUAACAAUGGGUCAAACUUCGAUUCUGACAAAUUCAGGGCCUUUUGCGUCUCUUAGGGCACUCGGGUCGACUAUGCUUCGGUCGCUCACCCCCAGUUGAAUGGGCAAGCAGAAAGGGCAAACGGCCUAAUUCUCAAAGGACUGAAACCCCGAUUGAUGCGCGAUCUCAAGCACGCAGCAGGUGCAUGGGUCGACGAGCUUCCAUCAGUCCUUUGGGGAUUGAGGACAACCCCGAACCGAUCGACUGGAAGAACCCCAUUCUUUCUGGUCUACGGAGCCGAGGCAGUCUUGCCGAGUGACCUGCUUCACAACGCUCCCCGAGUCGAGCUCUACUCUGAAGAUGAAGCAGAACAAGCCCGGCAGGACGUAGUCGACCUCCUAGAAGAAGAAAGAGAAAUGGCCAUGAUCCGAUCGACCAUCUAUUAGCAAGACUUGCGUCGAUUCCAUGCCAGAAACGUGAAGAGUCGAGCCUUCCAAGAAGGAGACUUAGUCCUCCAAGUGGAUCAGCAGAAACCACACAAACUCGCUCCUACUUGGGAAGGCCCCUUCAUAGUCACCAGAGUCCUCCACAAUGGAGCAUACCACCUCUACAAUGUCGAUCGCCAGAUUGAUGAGCCGCGAGCCUGGAAUGUGGAGCUCCUCCGCCCCUUUUAUACUUGAAUUCUCACUCGGAUGAGAUGUAAUAAGAAAAAACUCCUGUAGUUUAUUUAUCAAAGACAAGAGCGUUAUAAUUUUCCCAGUGAUUAUUAUUGUUUUUGUUUACAUGAGAAAUCCCCCAGUGGGUGGCUUAGCUGCGAAUCCGCUUUGCCUAAGUUUAUAAAAAUAAUUUCCUACCGAGUGGCGAGCCAGCCUCCCACUCGGGGGCUUAGCUGCGAAUCCGUUUCGCCUAAGUAUUUAAAAAAUCCUACUGAGUGGAGAGCAACCCUCCCACUUGGGGGCUUAGCUGCAGUCCAGUACUCGCCUAAGAUUCUCUCACUUGGAGACUUAGCUGCAGUCCGGCACUCGCCUAAGUUUGAAAAAAUCCUACCGAGUGGAGAGCAAUCCUCCCACUCAGGGGCUUAGCUGCAGUCCAGUACUCGCCUAAGUUCUCUCACUUGGAGACUUAGCUACAGUCCAGCACUCGCCUAAGUUUGAAAAAAUCCUACCGAGUGGAGAGCAAUCCUCCNNNNNNNNNNNNNNNNNNNNNNNNNNNNNNNNNNNNNNNNNNNNNNNNNNNNNNNNNNNNNNNNNNNNNNNNNNNNNNNNNNNNNNNNNNNNNNNNNNNNNNNNNNNNNNNNNNNNNNNNNNNNNNNNNNNNNNNNNNNNNNNNNNNNNNNNNNNNNNNNNNNNNNNNNNNNNNNNNNNNNNNNNNNNNNNNNNNNNNNNNNNNNNNNNNNNNNNNNNNNNNNNNNNNNNNNNNNNNNNNNNNNNNNNNNNNNNNNNNNNNNNAGCUGCAGUCCGGCACUCGCCUAAGUUUGAAAAAAUCCUACCGAGUGGAGAGCAAUCCUCCCACUCGGGGACUUAGCUGCAGUCCAGUACUCGCCUAAGUUCUCUCACUUGGAGACUUAGCUGCAGUCCAGCACUCGCCUAAGUUUGAAAAAAUCCUACCGAGUGGAGAGCAAUCCUCCCACUCGGGGGCUUAGCUGCAGUCCAGUACUCGCCUAAGUUCUCUCACUUGGAGACUUAGCUACAGUCCAGCACUCGCCUAAGUUUGAAAAAAUCCUACCGAGUGGAGAGCAAUCCUCCCGCUCGGGGGCUUAGCUUCAGUCUAGUACUCGCCUAAGUAUCUGAAAAUCCUACCGAGUGGUGAGCCAGCCUCCCACUUGGAGNNNNNNNNNNNNNNNNNNNNNNNNNNNNNNNNNNNNNNNNNNNNNNNNNNNNNNNNNNNNNNNNNCUUGGAGACUUAGCUGCAGUCCGGCACUCGCCUAAGUUUGAAAAAAUCCUACCGAGUGGAGAGCAAUCCUCCCACUCGGGGGCUUAACUGCAGUCCAGUACUCGCCUAAGUUCUCUCACUGGGAGACUUAGCUGCAGUCCGGCACUCGCCUAAGUUUGAAAAAAUACUACCGAGUGGAGAGCAAUCCUCCCACUCGGGGGCUUAGCUGCAGUCCAGUACUUGCCUAAGUUCUCUCACUUGGAGACUUAGCUGCAAUCCGGCACUCGCCUAAGUUUGAAAAAAUCCUACCGAGUGGAGAGCAAUCCUCCCACUCGGGGGCUUAGCUGCAGUCCAGUACUCGCCUAAGUAUCUGAAAAUCCUACCGAGUGGUGAGCCAGCCUCCCACUUGGAGGCUUAGCUGCAAUCCAGUACUCGCCUAAGUACGAAACACAUCUGAAUCCUCAAGGACGACGAGGUGCAGGUCGACUGCCACCUUCUCCGUGAGAGCUUCGCCACAAAUACAAUGUGCGCUCCAUCCUGCUCUGCAGUAACGAGGUGCAGGUCAACUGCCACCUUUUCCUUGAGAGCUUUGCCACAAAUACAAUGUGCACUCCGUCCCGCUCUGCAGUAACAAGAUGCAGGUCAACUACCACCUUCUCCUUCGGAGCUGCGCCACAAAUACAAAAGUUGUCUCGAAUGAAGAACGAUUCCCACUCGACGGGGGAUUCAUGAAGAUAUUUAACGAUAAACCAAGUUCAGAUAAACCCUAAAGGUUCCGGCCACAGAUCGAAGUGCUCGGGCUUUCAGCCCGAAAGAGUUUAACGGUUACAAAAACCACUCGGCAUCCCGAGGCAAAUUUAAGGUGAGGCAUAAAACUUUGUUCACUCCGCGGGAGGAGGACUAGCAGGCUCGACGAACUCGUCUAGGUCGACGCCGUCGGUGAUCCGAGUGGCUGCAGCGAUGAAAGUCUCCAUAAAAGAUCGGAAGUCAUGCUUCUGGGUGUUGGCGACCUUGAUUGCCGCUAGCUUAUCUUGACGCACCUCCUUGCAAUGGACGCGAACCAGAGACAGGGCCACAUCAGCUCCACACCGGGCAGAAGAUUUCUUCCACUCCUGCACUCGAUCAGGGAUUUCGUUAAGUCGAGUCAUCAGGGACUCGAGAUCAUUCUGGGGCGUGGUCUCUGGCCAAAGUGCUGGGUCGAUCCGCAACAUGGCGACCUUCAGUCGAGCCAAGUAGUCCACGACACCGUCGAUGCGGGAUUCCAGUCGGAGCAGAUUCAUGGUAGUUUCAUAUUUUACGGGAGAAUUGAUUGGGUCCAAACCUGGCUCAAUCCGCCCAGUCUCCUCCUCGAAGUUCUGGCAAAACUCUGCAUUCACGAUCCAAGGAUAAGUCAAUUUUCGUACACUGAGUCGACAUAAAAAAAAUCAGUCGGAACAAAAUGUGCACCUUCAAGCUUGAUGAACAACUUCUUGGCAAGGCUCCUCAGAUAGCUCUCCAGAUCGUCCCUCCUGCGAGCAAUGCUUUCCAUCUUCUCGCCCAGGAUGAGAUUUUCCUUCUUCCAGCGCGAGCACUCCUUGUUGGCGUCAUUCAGAGCAGAUUUCAGCCUGGUAUUCUCUUCUUCCAACUGGCCGACCGAAGCCAGUUUCUGUUCAGCUAGAGCGGUUCUGUCGUCAGCCUCCUUUCGAGCAGCAUCCAAAUCCUGAUCCUUCUUCUCCAGAGCUUCUCUCAGUUUUUCUAUAAAGAAAUGAUGCCUGAUUCAGAAAGAGCAGAAGGGUACUCAAGCCUAAGACAGACCAGUCGACAAAUUCGUUUUACCAGUGGCGUCAUCCUUGACCCUUUGCAGCUCUGUCUUGGCCAGCUCCAAGUCAAGGUCCAGUUGGAUCUGCUGUUUCUCCAAGUCAGCAAAGCAAGCUCCAAGAUCACAAGAUUUCUGAAAUCAAAGGGGAGAAGUUAUUUUUACAGCGAAAAACAACAAAGUCAAUAAGUACUAAGGCUACGGUCGACUGCCCGCAGUCCACCAUAGCCUCGGGGACUACACCCAGUGGGUGCACUUUGCGUGGCCCCACCGGUUCUGAUCCAACUCGACCGGCCCACCGAAGUCGAGUGCAGGGAGUAAAAAAAGAAAGAAGAGAGAAAGAACUCAGACCACAGUCGACUGCCAGCAGUCGACCGCGGUCUCGGGGACUACACCCAGUGGGUGCACUUGGCGUGCCCCCACCGGUUCUGACCCCACUCGACCAGACCGAGUGGAAGAGACAAACUAUCAGUUCGGUUUACACUCGACAAAAUACAAAGACUACAGUCGACUGCCCGUAGUCCACCGUAGUCUCGGGGACUACACCCAGUGGGUGCACUCAGUGUGCCCCCACUAAUUCAAAGUUCAAUCAACGCACCCAGUGGGUGUACUAACGCAAAGAUUUUCAGAGCAAAGAUUUUCGGAAAGAGUCUUCAAAUAUCAUAUCCUAACAGAACAAGCGGUGACCAACUAACCUGAACGUUGCUUUGGAGAGCCGAGCUGGCGUCGUAGGCAGCCUGACUGGCGUCCCGCACCAUCUUCAUCUUCUCCAUCAUGACGCCCGCCUGGCGUAUAGCUUCCCUGGCAGCAUUCACUUCGUCUUCUGGGACAUGAUGGGUCGCAAAAACUGAAGGUGGGUCGACAGGGGCCUGAGCAGUCGAUGAAGAAGGCAAGGCACUCGACAGUGGCACGGCGAAGGUAACAGAACCCCGAUUGGCGUCGCUAGUGUCCUGAACGACUGGUUCCGCCCUCGGCGUCGACUGUAGUGCCUCACUUGCAGGAGCUUGCCUAUUCUUCCUCGUCAAAGACCUCUCGGGCUCUUCAUCAUCAUCGGGGAGGUCAAUAAUGUUGGGAGCUGUGCAAAGUUCAAUUGCCAAAAUCACGUCACCCAAUGAUGCACAUUGCAGUUGAAUCGACCGAACAAAGACAGUAUGGCAGAAAUCAUACCCAGAUUAGAAGUGACCGCAUCCUCCAUCACCUCAUCAUCGUCCCUGUAAGCUGAGGUCCCGGAAGUGGCAGCGCUGACGGUUCCAAAGUUCGUCCAGUUAAAACAAGAAAAACAAACAGCGCGGAGCAUCGAGUGAAUACAAAUAGAGACACUCACGCGGAAGCGACGGGGAUGUCAAUCUUGAUCUUCGACAACGCCUUCCGAGUCUUCGGCUCUGCAACUUUGGGGUGCUUUGGCGCCUUCUCAGUCGGGGUUGGUGAAGAGAUCCGAGGACGCUUCGAAGACUGACCAGCCUGAGCAGUUGCCUUUUUGCGGGCGCUCGGUCGUUCUUGGUCAAGCUUGGAUCGCCUCUCCCUACGAGGGGGCGACUCGACUUCUUCUCCAUCGCUUGAGUCGUCGCUUCCUCCAUCCCCUUCACCGUCAGAAGUCCACUCGCCACUGUCGCCGCCACUCGCCUUGCCUUCCAGAGCUUGCUCUUGCUCUCUGUUGGGCAUUGAAUACAUUUCAAUAAUGGCCUGAAAGAAAGCAGGGAGAACAAAGUCAGUCAACGCAGUAUAGGCAGCUACGCGAGUGAAUUCAGAUUACAAGCAAAAACUCAGAAUCAGACCUUCUCUAGUGCAUGAGACUGGUCGAAUGGGGGAACUCUCCUGGCUCCCCUGGGGUUAUCCUUGUUUCCGGUAAUGCCAGACAGCCACUUCUCCAGUGUGUCAUCAUCGACCUCCUCCGGGUGAAUCCGAGUGGAGUCUUCAAGACCCGAAUACAUCCACAUCAGAUGGUCUCGGGCUUGAAGAGGCUGAAUGCACCGCUGAAGGAAGACCUCCAAGAGAUCCAUACCAGUGACCCCGUCACGGAUAAGCUGGACCACUCGCUCAACCAGCACCCUCACCCGCGCUUUCUCCUCCGGGAGCACCUUCAAAGGGGAUGGUUUCCUCACUCGGUCCAUGGUAAAGGGAGGGAGGCCAGUCGACUGCCCUAGCGUCGACUGGUCUUUACAAUAAAACCAGGUCGACUGCCAUCCGCGAACUGAGUCGGGAAGAAUCAUGGCCGGAAAGGAGCUUUUCCCUCUCAUCUGGAUACCAAGACCCCCACACAACUGGAUCACUUGAGUCCUCUCGUCACUCGGAUUAGCCUUUUUCACUGUUUGGGAGCGACAAGUGAAAAUAUGCUUGAAAAGACCCUAGUGAGGCCGGCAACCCAGGAAAUUCUCACACAAAGAAAUGAAAGCGGCGAGAUAAACGAUUGUGUUGGGAGUAAAACGGUGGAGUUGUGCCCCAAAGAAGUUCAGAAAUCCUCGAAAGAAAGGGUGAGGAGGCAAGGAAAAUCCACGGUCGACGUGGGUGGCAAGAAGAACGCGCUCACCCUCCCGGGGUUGCGGCUCGGAUUCCUUCCCCGGAAGCCGCGCCGAGUCGUAGGGGAUCUGCCCUCCCUCGGCCAGGUCGUCGAGGUCUUCUUGGGUGAGCUUCAAGUGGAUCCAGUCGCCCUGGAUCCAGCCCUUCGGCAGGCCGGUUCGCGAGGAGGAUCCGCCCCGACUAGUCGCCUUCCCCUUCGACCUCACCGUCGCCUUCUUUUCCCGCUCCAGAGCCGCCGUAUUCUCCUUCCCCAUCGUUGCCGGCGAGACGCGUACGGAACGGUGGCGCGAGGGCGAGAGCGAGCGCAGCGGAGGAGCGUGAAGAGGAGAAGAGAUAAUGGGGAUGCACUGUUCGGGAGACCCCGGUCCAACGCCUUAUAUGAGGCCGCUUCCGAGUGGCUGACUGGUAGGCCCGGGCGGUUCUGUCAAAUCCCGUAACAAUCGCGCGCGCGAUACAUGGAAAAAAAGGUGGCGCGGGGAUCGAGGCGGCUCCGCUCUAUCCCAUCCGAUUACUGCGGCCUCCCCCGUCCCGCGCGCUUCCCAAAAUUUAGAUCCCACGAAAUCUGCGGGCAGCGGAACAACUUGUCAGACCAAAGAUCUCCUCCGCACCGUCACUCGGAGCCUUUCAAGUAAAGAAACUCACUCGACAAAAACCUAAGAAUGGAUCAAGGCGACUGGAAAGGAAGUCGCUGCCAUCGCUCAGGUUCAUUGAUCCGAAACAAGAAAUGCUCACGGCAUGAAAAAUGAGUCGGAGAAGUGCUCAAUCCCUUUCCCACUCAAACCUCGAUCCAUUCGGGGGCUAAUGAUGAAGCUAUGUACCUAGGGUAGGGGCAUGGAUCUGUCCAAACUGACCUACCCAAGGACAUCUCCAGAAGAAAUCAUCUUUCAAUCGACUUGGAGGUGUUCCACUCGACAGACUCGAAGAUACUCGACCAAGAAGCAACCACUCGACCAAGACCAAGCCACUCGACAGUCAGGAGACCUAAAGGCACUCCGCAUGCUAACGGUCGGUUAUUAAGUAGCUUUUAUGGUCAUCAUAGCACUUUAUUACUAGCGUUACGAGUAAUGCCCUGCCUUAAUGUACAUUGAACCCUUUGUAACGUGGGCUGGCUGGGGUCUUGGCGCACUCUAUAUAAGCCACCCCCCUCCUCCGAGACAAGGGUUCGCACCCCUGUAAUUCAUACACGCAUAAUCCAGUCGACCGCCUCCGGGCUCUGAGACGUAGGGCUAUUACUUCCUCCGAGAAGGGCCUGAACUCGUAAACCUUGCGUGCUUACAACUUCUCCAUAGCUAAGAUCUUGCCUCUCCAUACUUACCACCCUACACUAUUGUCAGACUCAGAACCACGACAAGUAGUGUUACCUAGAUUCAUCUGCUGAUGCCAGUAAGCGCUCCCUAGCUGUGCAGGAGGUGGCUCAUGCCAGGAAGAGCUCCCUCGCUGUUGUUAUGGCAUAUCUCUCUCAAGGUAGUUUUGGUGAUUGAUGACAACAUGUUUGCGGACUAAUCUUGUGCGUUGAAUUAUUCUCAGAUUCUCCCCUGGCACGAGACGCUUUCUUCCCCUCGGAGUGUAUUUCAAGACGGUGUAGCUCUUUCAUUUCUUUCUAGGUGGACUAGUUGCGUAGAGGGCACCGUACUAUCAAGAGGGGGUCCGCUGGGGUUUUGCUUGGGUGGAAUCAUCACGUACACAUCAGCUUCUCACCCUUCGAGCUUUUCCUGUCCAUUGAAGAGAUCUCUCUUCCUUGUUCUGUCUAGGUCUAAGCGGCAGUACCGCGCACCCAGCGGUAGUAUCGCUGAGAAGCCACAAGCGGCAGUACCGCUUCGCAGCGGUAGUACCGCCGUGGCUCCACAGCAGUAGUACCACUGGGGGCCUGGCACCUCCGCUGGUCCUCAGCUUAUUUGAGAGAUCCCUUCUCUCUCUCUCGCGCCCCAGCGGUAGUACCGCUGGGUAGUUUGGCUCCUACCACCUCGAUUCGAGAGGUCUUUUUCUCGUGUCGGGUUUUGCGGCACUAGUCACGGUUGUAGUGGCGGUAGUACCGUUCUAGGAGCGGUAGUACCGCCCUACCACCACGGUAGUACCGCAUUUGGGUCCGUUCCCUACUAAGUCUCCUCAGCAUGGCAGUACCGCUGGUUGGUGCGGUAGUACCGUUGCCUGGCGGUAGUACCGCCCCCUCUCAGCGGUAGUACUGCCCUGUGCGGGGCUGGUUGGUGGGGGGCAACGGGAUUGUUGCCCCCACUAUAAAAGGGAGUCCCCUUCCUCCUUCUCACCUACCUCUUCCUCCCCUAAGCUCCAUUUAUUGCUCAAGCUCCAUUAAAUACUCCAAGCUUCAUUUCCGCCCGAUCUAUCUCUCUAGCCAAUCAAAUUUGUUGAUUUGCUCGGGAGUGGUUGAGAAGGCCCCGAUCUACACUUCCACCAAGGGAUUUUCGAUUCCCCCACUCAUCCCUAGCGGAUCUUGUUACUCUUGGGUGUUUGAGCACCCUAGACGGUUGAGGUCACCUCGGAGCCAUAUUCCAUUGUGGUGAAGCUUCGUGGUCUUGUUGGGAGCCUCCGAUUAAGUUGUGGAGAUUGCCCCAACCUUGGAGACAUUGAAAACCUCCAUGAUGACCGAAGUUGAAAGCAUGUUUACUAAAUUUCUUGAGGGGCUUAAACUAUCCACCACACCGUUGAAAGUGGGUGACCCCGCCAACAAGGUGACGGAUGCUAUCCCCGACAAGGGGGAAGCUAGUAGUGAAAAGGCUCCUUCUUCUAGUGGUAAGAAUGGCACCGGCAUCUUUGCCCAUGUGGAACCACCACUUGUUUAUGGUGGACCGGUUCCUUCCACUCAUUUGAAUCAUGCCGGUCCUCCCCCUAAGAUUGUGAAAAAUGAGGAUUUUGAUUCUUGGGUUUACCGCUUUAAACGUCAUUUAAAUCAUGUGAACACUAACCUUUGGAGAAUCAUUGAAGAAGGUUUCUAUCCACAUGAUCCAAGCAACUUCACUCCUCGAGAAGCCGCGGACAAUCAAUUCAAUGAGAAUGCUCUCUUCAUCAUUCAAGAUGCAAUUCCACCCGAAGACCUACCUCAUCUUCGUCCCUUCGCCUUGGCCAAAGAUGCAUGGCAUUGUGUCGUGUCUCUCUACCGGGGAAGCGCAAGCAUUCAACGCUCCAACUAUGAAGUGGUACAAGAUGAGGCUGAUGAGUUUGCAAUGAAGGAAGAUGAAGAACCUUGUGAGCUUUAUCGGAGAGUAACCAAACUUGCGGUCUCACUACGAGAUCACGAGAGCAAGGACACGGAUGACAAUUGGAUCAAGCGCAAAUUCCUCAAGGCAAUGAUGCCCUACCACAAGGCCAUGUCCUCCAUCAUUCGUCAAAGACCGGACUUCCACACUUUGACCUCAAGCGAAGUGUUGGAUGAGUUUGUGGCCAUGAACAUUUUGGACAAGACCGCCGACAAUGCGGUGCUCCGUUCUCAAUAGGCAAAGAAGCCUAACCUUGCAUUGAAGGCCAAGCUCACCGUGGAAGAAGAAGAAGAGGAAGAAGAGGAGAGCAACCCCAAAGAUACGAAGUAUGCAUAUCAUGAACACAUGGCACUUGCUUCAAGGCAAUUUUGGAGCAAGAAAAACUUGAGGCCCAACUUUAGCAAAAACAACUCGAGUGGCACAAGGAGCAAGCAACGUGUAAGAACUUGCUACAAUUGCGGCAACGUGAGUCAUUUCGUUGCGGAAUGCCCGUAUGAGAAGAGGGAAGACAAUGGUGGCAAACUCAUCUAAAAGGACAAGGCCAAGUCGUUCCCCAACAAGAACAACUUCACCAAGAAGACUCCUCCCAAGGCUUUGGUUGUGCAAGAAGAGUACAAUGAGGAUGAUGACGAUGAUGAAGAUGAUGAGUCGGUUGCCAUGGCCUCCAUUGCCAUUGCAACAACUUCACGGGUGUCUCUCUUCGACUCACCCAACGAGAGCAUCACCGCCAAGUGCCUCAUGGAUAAAGCCACCAACAAGGUAACCUCCAACAUCAAAACUACCAUCAUUAAUCAUCCUUCCCAAACAGAUAGCAUUAAUGAACUUGAGGGAGCUAAUGUGGAGGCUAACGAGUUUGAGGCUUUUAUGGGCAAACUCAAGGGAAAAUCCGAGAAGCACUUUGUUGCUCUCUUGGAACAACUUGGUGAGGCCAAUGACAUGAUCGAGGCUCAUGAAGACACCAUCUCUAAGAUGGAAGGGCAUAGUCGUGACUAUGCCGAUGAGAUUUUGGAUCUUUCCAAUGCUCUUGAGGAAGAGCGUGGUCUUCGUUUGGCUCUUGAGGAGUCACACAACGUUGAUCAUGCUAAGUUAAAGAAAGAUUAUGAUCAUGCCCUCAUUGUUUCUCGUGUGCUAAAUUCCGAGAAGGCCAAACUCGGGGUUGAUCUUGCUAGACUCAAAGAGGAGUUUGAUAUACUUGACAAGGCCCACAAGACCUUGAAGGGUAUUCACGCUAGUCUCAAGGAGUCUCAUGAUCAACUCCAAGUGAAGCUAACUAAGGAGAAAGCAACUUUUCCUCAUAUGGUUUUAAUUGAUAAUGCAAAUGCUACUAACCCGUGUUGUGAGCAUAUACAUCUUGUUGAGGAAAAUGCUAAGUUGAAGGAGCAACUUGAGAGAGGUCUUGCGACUUGCAUACAAGGCAAGAAGAACCUCAACGAUCUCUUGAUCAACCAAAAGGGAGGUGUGGCCAAGGAAGGGGUUGGGUACGUGCCCGACUCCAAGAACAAGAAGAAGAAUGACAAGACCAAACGACCUCCUCCCCUCAUGCAAACCUUUGUGAGGGAGGGAGAGAGUGCCCCCGAGGAGAAGAAGAAGAACAAUGUCAAGAAGGGCAAUGUCAUCCCUCCAAACAAAGCCGACGAUUUUAAUCCUUUUUAUGUGUUAUGCCGUGCUAGUGGUGGGCAUGUUGAUGCCAAAUUUGUUGGUUCUCUUCAUGAGUACAUUGAAUGGUCUAUUUGGGUUCCUAAGACCCUUGUUACUAACAUCAAAGGACCCAUUACAAAAUGGGUACCUAAAACCAAGCAUUGAUCUCUUGUAGGUGUUUGCUUCCGGUGGUGGAUCAUGGUUGCUCGAUAGCGGAGCUACAAAUCAUAUGACCGGAAGCAAGGACUUGGUGGUGGACGUGCACAAAGUUCCAUCUAUGCCCACCAAUGUCGAGUGGGGUGACGCCUCAUCCUCUAAGGUAUUGGGACUUGGCAAGGUGGUCAUCUCUCAUGAUCUCACGAUCGAGAAGGUCAUGCUUGUUGAGUCCCUUGCAUACAAUUUACUUUCCGUUCGUCAACUUGCAAUCAUGGGCUUUGCCACUUUCUUUGAUAUCGAUACCGUGGCCCUCUUGUGGAGCAAGACUCUUAAAGUAGCUUUUGUUGGGCAUGUCGAGAAUGGUCUAUAUGUGAUUAACUUUUCGGAGCGACCCACUAAGACCGCGACAUGCCUAAUGGCUAAAGUUGAUGUGGGAUGGCUUUGGCAUCGCCAUUUAGCCCAUGUCAAUAUGAGAUCUUUGCAAAGUCUUCUCAAGGGGGACCAUGUCCGUGGACUAACGAAUGUUAGCUUUGUUAAAUAUCGUGCUUGUAGUGCCUGUAUCGAAGGAAAGCUACAUGAGAAGGCUCACCCUCCCACGACUAUCAUUUAUUCAAAGAGGCCCUUGGAGCUCCUUCACAUGGAUCUUUUUGGGCCCCCAUCCUUCCAUAGUCUUGGAGGUAGGAAGUAUUGCUUGGUGAUUGUGGAUGACUACUCAAGGUACACAUGGGUGUAUUUCUUCAAGAGGAAGAUCGAGACCCAACAAACCGUCAUUGACUUUGCAAAUGAAGCACAAUGUCAACACAAUUCAAAGAUCUUGACAAUAAGAAGUGACAACGGCACCGAGUUCAAGAACUACACCUUGGAUGAAUUUCUUAGUGAUGAGGGAAUCAAGCAUCAAUAUUCCGCACCAUACACCCCUCAACAAAACGGUGCUGAGGAGAGGAAUAACCGGACGUUGAUGGAUGCGGCAAGGACCAUGAUGGCGGAGUUCAAGUCUCCAUACAACUUUUGGGCCGAAGCCAUCAACACCGCGUGUCAUGCAUCCAAUCGGCUCUACCUCCGCAAGGGCUUGAACAAGACCCCAUAUGAGAUACUCACCGGUAACAAGCCCAACCUCAAGUACUUUCGGGUAUUCGGGUGUAAGUGUUUCAUUCUCAAGAAAGGUGUUCGGUUGUCUAAAUUUGAGGCUAGAGCUUAUGAGGGCAUAUUUGUUGGUUAUGCUACAAACUCUCAUGCUUACCGUGUCCUCAAUAAAUCCACGGGACUUAUUGAGGAGACGUGUAACGUGGAGUUUGAUGAGAAUAACGGCUCCCAAGUGGAGCAAAGUGGCACUUGUGAUGUAGGUGAUGAAAUUCCUCCUCAAGCCAUAAGAAGAAUGGGUGUUGGUUUCAUCCUACCCAUUGAGGAACCCCUUGUGGCCGAAGGAGAAGGACAAUGCUCCACUCAAGUGGAGCCAUCACCAACCCAAGGCCCACACGCUUCCGAAGAACAAAGUGAAGGCCCUCAACCUCAUGAACAAGACCAAGGGCAAGAUCAUACUCAAGACGGUGCUGACACACCAAGUGAUGCCCAAGGUCAAGUUCUCUCCCCCGAGCAAGUUCAAGAUCAAGAACAAGUUCAUGACGGCACUCAAGAUGAUCAAGUAACCGCUCCUCAACUCACCACCGAGGAGGAAUUAGAGCAUCGUGCCACCAAGGUUGCUUCCAAGCUCUCCACCAAGGAUCAUCUCAUGACGAAUGUGCUUGGAAGCUUAAGAAAGGGGGUAAGCACUCGUAGACAAUUAGCAAAUUAUUGUGAGCAUCACGCGUUUGUCUCUUGUGUGGAGCCCCACAAGGUCUAUGAGGCGCUAGAAGAUCCGGAUUGGCUCAAUGCCAUGCACGAAGAACUCAACAACUUCGAGCGCAACAAAGUGUGGAGAUUGGUGCCAGGGCCAACGGGGAACCAUAAUGUCAUUGGAACCAAGUGGAUAUUCAAGAACAAGCAAGAUUCCCAUGGGAUUAUCAUUCGCAACAAGGCUCGUUUGGUAGCACAAGGCUACUCCCAAGUCGAGGGUAUCGACUAUGGUGAAACCUUUGCUCCCGUUGCUCGUCUUGAAUCCAUUCGCAUGUUGAUUGCAUAUGCUUCUCAUCAUAACUUUAAGUUACAACAAAUGGAUGUGAAGAGUGCUUUUCUUAAUGGUCCCAUUAAUGAAUUGGUUUACGUCAAGCAACCCCCCGGGUUCGAGGAUCCCUACUUUCCCGAUCAUGUGUAUCAACUCGAUAAGGCACUCUAUGGCCUUAAACAAGCCCCACAUGCAUGGUAUGACCACCUUACCGAGUUGUUAAAAGACCGUGGUUUUGAAGUUGGGCUAAUCGACCCCGCUCUUUUUACUAAGAAGGUCAAAGGGGAGUUGUUUGUGUGCCAAUUAUAUGUUGAUGAUAUUAUCUUUGGUUCUCCUAACAAAUCUUUCAAUGAGGAAUUUGCCGCUCUCAUGACCUCAAAGUUCGAGAUGUCCUCCAUGGGAGAGUUGAAGUUCUUUCUAGGGUUCGAAGUGAAGCAAAGAAGAGAAGGAACUUUCAUCAAUCAAUCCAAAUACACUCAAUACAUGCUCAAGAGAUUCAAGCUAAGUGACGUCAAGCCGUCUUCCACUCCAAUGCCCACCAAGUGCCAACUUGACUUAGAUCCCAAUGGUAAAGUGGUGGAUCAAAAGGUAUAUCGUUCCAUGAUUGGAUCCUUGCUUUACCUUUGUGCAUCUAGACCGGACAUCAUGUUGAGUGUGGGAAUUUGUGCACGGUUUCAAGCCACACCUAAGGAAAGUCACUAUGUGGCGGUCAAACGAAUCUUUCGAUAUUUGGCUCAUACCCCAAACUUUGGCUUAUGGUACCCAAGAGGAUCAAAAUUCAAGCUUGUAGGGUACUCAGAUUCCGAUAGGGCGGGAGACAAAGUGGAUAGGAAGUCCACUUCCGGAGGGUGCCAAUUCCUUGGUUGCUCUUUGGUAAGUUGGUCUUCCAAAAAGCAAAGUUGUGUCUCUCUCUCGUCCACUGAAGCGGAGUAUGUGGCGGCCGGUAGUUGUUGUGCACAACUCUUAUGGAUGAGGCAAACUUUAAAGGAUUACGGUGUCACUUGUGACAAAGUGCCUCUUUGGUGUGACAAUGAAAGUGCCAUCAAGAUCUCUCUCAACCCGGUGUAACACUUCAAGACGAAGCAUAUUGAGAUCCGGUAUCACUUCAUCCGGGGUCACAUUAGGCAAGGAGAGAUCGAGCUCAACUACGUCAACACUCAUGAUAACCUUGCAGAUAUCUUCACGAAGCCCUUGGAUGAAGCAAGAUUUCGCGAGUUAAGGCAUGAGCUAAAUAUCAUUGAUUCGAGCAAUGUUGCUUGAACUCGCGCACACCCUAUCACGCUCAACUUGUUGUCUAGUUUAGGUGUAGGCAUGGACAUAGGGGGAGUGUUGUUCUCUCAAUGAACUCUCCCUCCCCCCAUUAUGCAUAAAUUGAUCAAGUCUUUCACCUUAGCCAUUGUUGAUGGCACUUGUGCUUCAAAGACGAGUUUUGGUCAUGGGCCCAAGGUUAAAAUCUUCGCGGUGCCAUACCUUUUGACUCAAACAUAGGUGGCCUCGGCCACCGCCCUCUUUUGAAGAGGUGUGUCUUGGUAAUUUGCUGUUGUGCUUUGUUGUUUCUCUCUUGCCGUUUUUGUCGUUUCGUCGAGCUAAAGCCGUGUCUGUUUAGUUGUCGUGGCGUGUUGGGCGGUACUACCGCUGGUGGUGCGCGGUACUACCGCUUAUAAGCGGUACUACCGCCCCCCAGCGCGGUACUACCGCUGAGGGACGGGACCUGAGGGUGAAGUCAAGGCAGGGGGAGGUUUCUUCUCCCCCAUACCCAUUCACUUCGCCCCUCUUGUCUCUUCCUCUCUCCAGCCUCUUCUUGCCAUGGGAGGGCUCCGGCGGAUCUCCGUCUCCAGGGCGUCCCUCUCCAUUUCCUUUGGUGGAGUCGAUCCCCACCUCGUUCUCUUGCCAUGGAUGCCGGUAUUGCCCCCGUUCCUUCUUUCGUUUUGUCUCCUUUUAGUUCUUGUUUCUUAGGGGCAAUGGUGGUUGCAUCUCUAGAUUUUUGGUGAAAUCUAGGCAUGAGUUGGUUGGAGAAGGCAACUAGACUUUCUAGAUUAGAGUUUGGUAGGAUUAUUUUUGAAUUUGGUAGGCCGGUAGUGCCGGAUCUGACCACGGUAGUAGGAAACCACUGUUUCACCGUCUCGUGCUAUGAAACUGCUGUUUAUCUGCCUCAAGCCGUACUACCGCUCCCUUUGGAGCGGUACUACCGCUUGACCUAGAGCGGUACUACCGCUCCCUUUGGGGCGGUACUAUCGCGGGCAGGUCACGGUACUACCGUUGCAUGUCAAUUUCCAUCAUUCUCCUGCCUUACCUUGAUCUUUUUGUUGUGUUUGUUGGCUUAUGCUCGUUCUUUCUGGUUGUUUCGCGUUGUUCUUGUGUUUGGCUCCAGGUGAUGACCGUUCUGAGCAGCAAGGUCGCCGUAUCAACCCCGGGCGUGCCACAUCAAAACGCUACCGCACCUCAGAGCCUGCCGGUGGUUCCUCAAGCACCCAACCGCCUCCAGCAAGUGCUUCUGCAAGUGUUCCUCCACCUCCUCGACAACCGAAGCGAGCCGCCAACAAGCCAAAAGGGAAGACUGUGACUGAGAUGACCAACAAGGAUUUUUGGGAGAAGCGUCGCCGCAACCCCUAUGCGGUGGACCAAGAACCCACUUUGGUCAAUCGCCCGUUCGGGAACCGUUUUCAGUUUGCCAUCUACUUUGAUGUGAUCAAGGCCAAGAAGAAUCUUUUUGUUGAUGUUCGCUCCAUUGACACUGAUGCUAUGGAGAAGGAUCCGGAGUACUUUGGCGAAGCUCUUCAGAUGUGCACUCAGCUAAACAUUCUCAGGAUCAUGCAAUUCAAUAAGGAUUUCGAUGCGGAUUUGGUGGCUCAAUUCUAUGCCACCGUCCACCUUGGGAUGGAUGUCGACAGGACUCUGACAUGGAUGACCAAUGGCAAGCUGCUUUCUGUCAAGUGGAAGGUGUAACACCCUCGAUGCGACUAUAGCUCCCACGGGUCGAGGCACGACUUAGAGACAUAAUCGCAUUGAAGGCAUAUGUUGCAAGUUAGGCACUCUUCACAACAUCCCAUGUAAUAUGAAUAAUAAAGGGAAGAACAUAGUUGGCUUACACUCGCCACGUCAAGCAAGAACAUAAAUAACAUUACAUCAUCCAAAACACUCAUGGCCCGACUACGGUGCCAAAAUAGAAGAGAACCCAACAUGCGACAACGGUCCCAAUCACCCCCAACUGGGCACCACUACUGAUCAUCGAGAAAGGAAACGUAGUAACGCUAAGAGUCCUCGUUGAACUCCCACUUGAGCUCGUACUCGUCACCUGGAGCGGAAUCACCUGGACCUGCAUCUGGAGUUAUAGUAAUCUGUGAGUCACAGGGACUCAGCAAUCUCGCACCCUCGCGAUCAAGACUAUUUAAGCUUAUAGGAAGGGGUAAGGCAAAUAUAAGUGGAGCUGCAGCAAGCGACUAGCAAGUAUGGUGGCUAACUUAUACGCAAAAGAGGGCGAGAAGAGGAGGCAAAGCACAAGCGAGAAGCUAGAGAACAACCUGCGCAAACAUUACUCCAACACCGUGUCCACUUCCCGGACUCCGCCGAGAAGAGGCCAUCACGGUAACACACACAGUUGAUUCAUUUUAAUUAAUUAAGGUUCAAGUUAUCUACAACCGGACAUUAACAAAUUCCCAUCUGCCCAUAACCGCGGGCACGGCUUUCAAAAGUUCAAUCCCUGCAGGGGAGUCCCAACUUAGCCCAUGACAAGCUCUCAUGGUCAACGAAGGAAUAGACCUCCUCCCAAGACGUUCCGAUCAGACUCGGUAUCUCGGUAAUUCAAGACACUUCGACAGGUUAAAACAAGACCAGCAACACCGCCCGAAUGUGCCGACAAAUCCCGAUAGGAGCUGCACAUAUCUCUUUCUCAGGGCACACUCAGAUGAGCGCUCCAUACAACUAAAACCAAACCUCGAGUUUCCCCGAGGGGGCGCUGCACAGGACUCUAGUUUGGACCAACACUCAGAGGAGCACUGGCCCGGGGGGGUUAAAUAAGAUGACCCACGGGCUCCGGAAACCCGAGGGAAAAGCGGCUAGGUGGCAAAUGGUAAGACCAAGGUUGGGCAUUGCUGGAAAAGCUUUAAUCAAGGCGAACUAUCAAGGGGUUCCCAUUAUAACCCAACCGCGUAAGGAACGCAAAAUCCGGGAACAUAACACCGAUAUGACGGAAACUAGAGCGGCAAGAGUGGAACAAAACACUAGGCAAGAGGCCGAGCGUUCCACCCUUUACCAAGUAUAUAGAUGCAUUAAGAUAACAUAGCAAUUUAAUGAUAUCCCAAUAAGUAAAUAAAUGUCCCAACAAGGAACGGCUCCAAUCUUCACCUGCAACUAGCAACGCUAUAAGAGGGGCUGAGCAAAGCGGUAACAUAGCCAAUCAACGGUUUGCUAGGACAAGGUGGGUUAGAGGUUUGACAUGCAAUUGGGAGGCUGACAAGUAAAUGGUAGGCAUCGUAGCAUUGGCAUAGCAAAGAGCGAGCAAACUAGCAUAGCAAAGAUAGUAGUGAUUUCAAGGGUAUGAUCAUCUUGCCUGCACAGUUGUCAUAGUUGACUGGAUCCUCACAAGCAAACUCAACGGGCUCCUCGGUAGCGAACUCGUCUCCCGGCUCUACCCAAACAAGACAAACAAGCAACAAGGAUACAAUCAACCACGUGCAAGCUCAAACAAUAAGAUGCAAUGAUGAUAUGCUAUGCGGGAUGCGAUGCGGGAUGCAAUAUGCAAGAUAUGACAGGAAAUGCAUGAACCUGGCCUCAACUUGGAAUUCCAAGGGUGCCACUGGAAAGAUGAGAUGAAAUCGCUUGAAAACGAUAUAAAGAACGCCGGAAUCGGAGUUACGGUUUGGAAAUGGCAAGCUAAGAAUGACACCGGUCUGCAAUUUACAGCAAGUAGGCAUCUAAAUGCAAUGAAAUGAACAUGCUACAGCACCCAAACAUGGCAACAAAAUACAUGGCAGGGAUGCACACAAGAUUCUUAACAAAAGACUAGCACUGGGCCACAGCCAAUUCAUCCAUUAAGAGGCUCAAACAAGCAUGGCAAAAACGCAAAUGCAAAACAGAUUCCAGACUUAGUGAAAUUAUCACUUGUCUGGAAUUUCAGAUCACGAAGCCCUCUUCGGAGCAGCAAAACAACAUGAUACAUGACCUGAUUAAGAUAAAUAAGAACAUGGCAUGGAGCUACUCAACAAUCUUAACAAAAGUUCCAAAGUGACCUGGGGCCAAAAGGGAUCACAAAAUAUACUAAUAAGCACACGAACAUAGCUAAAACACAAUCAGUUUUCAGACUUAGUGAAAACUGAGACAUGCUGAAAUAUAACUCACGAAGGCACGUAAAUGAGCUCGAUGCACUCACCACGAUGCAAGUCAUGGCAAGGCAGGCAUACAUCCAUUUAGAAGGCACAAAAUGCAAGCUAGGCAUGGCAAGAACAAUGGCAUAUCAUGCACGGAUCAACUACAAUAACAUCGGCAAAAUCGCAAACGAGUUGACGAUCUGCCCAGAUUCACAACGAAGCAAAAGUAGAGCUCGAUUGACUCAAGCUAGGGUGCUCCAUAAUUGCAAACAAAGACAUGGAUGGAUAGAGAAUAACGAGAUUAACAAAACUCCUUUACUGAUCAUCCUCAAAAGAGGCACAGAUCACUAGGAAACAACACGAACAUAUGGCAUCAUGAACUAAAUAAUCCCAGACUUAGUGAAAACUACUAAGUCCCUGAAAACAGAUUUACCGGGUGCCUCACUUUGCAAGCUUGCACAAGUCACCACACACAUCCUAAAAAUGCAUGGGUUGCACCUCUGGAAAGAAGACAAAAUCCUUAACAAAACAUAUGAAGGACUCACAGGCAUAGCAUGCACACAAUAAUCAUGGCAAAAAUGACAAAAGUCUAAGAUGAACUAGCAGAUCUGACAAUUAACUCACGAAGGCUCCUUCUAACAGCAUUUCGGGCAUUAAGAUGAGCUCAAAUGAAAAUGAUGCAAUGGAAUGAAAUGAUUUACUCUCUGAGGUGAACAUUUUGAUAUGCUAUAUGCAUGAAUCGGAGCUACGGAUGCAAAGUUAUGAAGCCGCGAACAGAGGCACUUGGAUCUGUAGAUUUCAGGACUUAGACGAAAUUUAUACCCUGCAAAAGUCAACGGGACGAGGAUAUCCCGGGACGGAGGGAUCCGGGCGGCGGGGCUGCAUUUGGAUCGCUGAACCAGUGGAUCUGAUCCACCCGACUAGAUCGGACCCGGCCGGAGCUCCAGCGAGGCGAGGCAUCCGGCGAGCGGCGGACGGCGGCCGGGGCGGCAGCGGCCGGCGGCCGAGGCNNNNNNNNNNNNNNNNNNNNNNNNNNNNNNNNNNNNNNNNNNNNNNNNNNNNNNNNNNNNNNNNNNNNNNNNNNNNNNNNNNNNNNNNNNNNNNNNNNNNNNNNNNNNNNNNNNNNNNNNNNNNNNNNNNNNNNNNNNNNNNNNNNNNNNNNNNNNNNNNNNNNNNNNNNNNNNNNNNNNNNNNNNNNNNNNNNNNNNNNNNNNNNNNNNNNNNNNNNNNNNNNNNNNNNNNNNNNNNNNNNNNNNNNNNNNNNNNNNNNNNNNNNNNNNNNNNNNNNNNNNNNNNNNNNNNNNNNNNNNNNNNNNNNNNNNNNNNNNNNNNNNNNNNNNNNNNNNNNNNNNNNNNNNNNNNNNNNNNNNNNNNNNNNNNNNNNNNNNNNNNNNNNNNNNNNNNNNNNNNNNNNNNNNNNNNNNNNNNNNNNNNNNNNNNNNNNNNNNNNNNNNNNNNNNNNNNNNNNNNNNNNNNNNNNNNNNNNNNNNNNNNNNNNNNNNNNNNNNNNNNNNNNNNNNNNNNNNNNNNNNNNNNNNNNNNNNNNNNNNNNNNNNNNNNNNNNNNNNNNNNNNGGCGGCUCCACCGGGGGGCGGGGCGAGGCGAGAUGGGCCCUGGGGGCCGGCCUUGGACUCCCGGGCCGGCGGGGAUGUGGGGUGGUGGCGCGGCCAACGGGGCGGCGACACGUGGCGGCGGCGGGGUAAGUCGGACGUGUCCGGCGGCGGCGGAUCUGAGAUUUUAGGGUUUCGGGGGAGGAGACCCGGGAUUUGGAAUGGGGGGUGUUUAAAUAGGCAUAGAGGGAGCUAGGAGAGUUCAAAUGAGGUGCGGUUUUCGGCCACGUGAUCGUGAUCGAACGCUCUAGGACAUGGAGCAGAGUUUGGUGGGUUUUGGGCCAAAUUGGAGGGGUGUUGGGCUGCAACACACGCGAGGCCUUUUCGGUCCCUCGGUUAACCGUUGGAGUAUCAAACGCAGUCCAAAUGAUACGAAACUUGACAGGCGGUCUACCGGUAGUAAACCAAGGCCGCAUGGCAAGUCUCCGUCCAAUCCGGAAAUGUUUAAUCCCCACACACGAAGGAAAGCUAGAAAUGACCACCAGAGGAGAACGAAGCGCCGGAAUGCAAAACGGACAACGGGGAAAAAGCUCGAAUGCAUGAGAUGAACACGCAUGCAAAUGCAAUGCACAUGAUGACAUGAUAUGAGAUGCAUGACAACGAAAACAACACACGGAGACAAAGACCCGAACCCGAGAAAUAAAUAUAACUUAACGCCGGAAACGGCAAGAGUUGGAGUACAAAUUGGGAAAUUUAUAUCCGGGGCGUUACAACACUCCACCACUACGAAAAGAUCUCGUCCCGAGAUCUAGGACUGAAAGAACUCCGGGUACUCAGAACGGAGGUGAUCCUCGCGUUCCCAGGUAGCUUCACGGUCGGAAUGGUGUGACCAUUUGACUUUGAGAAAUUUGAUUGACUUGUUGCGAGUCUUGCGUUCAGUCUCUUCAAGAAUAGCAACUGGGUGCUCUCGAUAAGAGAGAUCUUCUUGGAGCUUAAUGUCCUCGAAGUUGACGGUGUGGUCAGGAGUCUUGAAGCACUUUCGAAGCUGAGAGACAUGGAACACGUCAUGAACAUUUGCAAAGUUUGAAGGAAGCUCGAGUUUAUAGGCGAGGUCGCCUCUCCUGCUGACAAUCUUGAAAGGUCCCAUGUAUCUAGGGGCAAGCUUCCGUUUGAUACCGAAGAGAUGAGUACCUUUCAUAGGAGAGACACGGAGGUAAACAUGAUCUCUGAUCUCGAAAUCCAAAUCAUGGUGCUUACUAUCAUAGUAGCUCUUCUGGCGGGAUUGGGCUGCUUUGAGUUAUCUCGAAUGACUUUGCACAUUUCUUCUGCUUCUGAGAUUAAGUCAUUACCCAGCAGCUGACGUUCACCGGUUUCAGACCAGUUGAGAGGGGUACGGCACUUCCUGCCAUACAGAAUUUCAAAUGGGGCCUUGCCCGAACUUGCUUGAAAACUAUUGUUGUAGGAGAAUUCAGCAUAAGGAAGACAAUCCUCCCACUUCAUGCCGAAGGAGAUCGCACAAGCCCUGAGCAUAUCUUCAAAAAUCUGGUUGACACGCUCGACUUGGCCGCUUGCUUGAGGAUGGAAAGCAGUGCUGAAGCGGAUGUUAGUGCCCAUGGCCUUCUGCAAAGAAUCCCAAAACUUCGAGGUAAAGAUGCUACCAGGGUCUGAAGAUAUCACUUGAGGAAUACCGUGCAGAGAGACAAUUCGAGAGGUGUAGAGUUCCGCUAAUUGAGCUGCAGUGAUCGACUCUUUGAUAGGCAGAAAGUGAGCCACUUUGGUGAGUUUAUCGAUGACAACAAAUAUAGCAUCAUUGCCACGCUUGGACUUUGGAAACCUAGUCACGAAGUCCAUUUCAAUGUGGUCAAACUUCCAUUCUGGAAUGGCAAGAGGUUGGAGGAGACCAGCUGGCCUUUGGUGUUCUGCCUUCACUCUUCUGCAGACAUCACAUUCAUUCACGAAUUGAGCGAUCUCGUGCUUCAUUCGAGUCCACCAAUAAGCUUGCUUGAGGUCCUGAUACAUCUUCGUGCUCCCGAGGUGGAUGGAGAGGAGAGAAUUGUGAGCCUCGUUCAUGAUCACUUUACGGAGGUCACCUUUGGGCACAACAAUACGAUCCUCGAAGAAGAGAGUGUCCUUGUCAUCAAGGCGGUAGCACUUGUACUUGGACUGACUCUUGGCAAUCCCAAUCUUCACCUUUUUCACCAUAGCAUCAAGAAGCUGGGAUUGGCGAAUCUGGUCUUCUAAAGUAGGAGAGACUUGAAGGUUGGCGAGGAAACCUUGGGGAACAACUUGCAGAUUAAGUUUGCGGAAAGCUUCACAAAGCUCGGGUUGAUAAGGCUUGAGAAUCAGACUGUUGCAGUAAGCCUUUCUGCUCAAAGCGUCAGCAAUCACAUUGGCCUUGCCUGGAGUAUACUCGAUACUCGGAUUAUACUCUUGAAUCAUUUCGACCCAUCGAGUUUGCCUGAGGUUGAGAUUAGGCUGAGUGAAGAUGUACUUGAGACUCUUGUGAUCAGUGAAAAUGUCCACUUUUCUUCCCAAUAGAAGAUGUCUCCAAGUCAACAAAGCAUGCACAACUGCCGCCAACUCGAGAUCAUGAGUGGGGUAGUUCUUCUCAUUAGGCUUCAACUGGCGAGAUGUAUAAGCAACAACUUUCUUCUCUUGCAUCAAAACUGUGCCAAGACCUUGGAGGGAGGCAUCAGAAAAGACCUCGUACGGCUUGGAUUCAUCAGGCGGAGUCAGAACUGGAGCAGUGAUCAACUUCUCUUUCAAAGCGUUGAAAGCAAUAUCACACUCCGGAGACCAAACAUACUUGGCGUGCUUCUGAAGAAGAUUAGAGAGAGGCUUCGCGAUCUUGGAAAAGUUAUCAACGAAUCUCCUGCAAUAGCUUGCGAGACCGAGGAAACUGCGGAGUUGCUUCACGUUCUGAGGAGGUUCCCAAUUCACAAUUGCAGACACCUUCUCAGGAUUCACGGCAAUGCCCUUGGCAGAGAUGAUAUGACCAAGAUAAAGAACCUCCUAGAGCCAAAAUUCACACUUGGAGAACUUGGCGUAGAACUGAUGUUCUCUGAGCUUAUCAAGAACCAAACGCAAAUGCUUGGCAUGAUCUUCCUUGUUCUUGGAGAAAACCAGAAUGUCGUCGAGAUAGACCAAAACGAAGUCAUUGGUGUAGGCGUUGAAGAUGAAGUUCAUCAUACGAGAGAACGUCGGAGGGGCGUUGGCGAGGCCAAAAGACAUGACAGUGUAUUCAUAUGAACCAAAGCUUGUUCUGAAUGCUGUCUUGGGAAUAUCUUCUUCACGAAUGUGAAUCUGGUGAUAACCCAUACGGAGAUCAAGCUUGGAGAAUACUUGGUCACCUUUGAGUUGUUCGAACAGCUCAUUGAUGUUGGGAAGUGGGUAUUUGUUCUUGAUGGUCUUCUUGUUCACCGGACGGUAAUCAACACAAAGUCGGUCCGGUCCAUCCUUCUUCUUCACAAAAAGAACACCACAACCCCACGGAGAAGAACUAGGCCGGAUAAGACCCAUUCUUUCUUGCUCAUCGAGUUGCUUCUUCAGCUCCUUCAACUCUUCAGGUCCGAGCUUGUAAGGACGUUUGCACACAGGUUCCGUGCCAGGCUCAAGUUCAAUAACGAAUUCAACUGGCCGGUGCGGAGGCAUUCCUGGGAGCUCUUCUGGAAAGACGUCUUGAUAUUCGCAAACGACUGGAAUUUGAGAGAUGGCAUCCAAUUCUUCCUUCUCAUUGAGAGAAAACAGACGGAUAGUAUUAUCCCGAGCGGCAAAGACAAUUACAUCCUCAGACGAAUGAGUUAAUUGAAUCUGCCUGGCAGCACAAUCAAGAUGUGCCUUGUGCUUAGAAAGCCAAUCCAUUCCGAGAAUAAGAUCAAUAUCCAAGUUACCAAGAACAAUUGGGGAAGAAAGGAACUUGUAGUCACCCAAUGUGAUAGUAACCUCAGGGACGCAGGUGUUAGCUGUCAUCUGCUUGCCCGGUGACACAAUUUGCAAGGAACUUUGCAGAUACUGAUAAUCACACUCAUACUUUGAUGCAAAAGGUUUAGAAAUGAAGCAAUGCGAUGCACCCAUGUCAAAAAGAACUUUUGCAGGAAUAUCAUUAACAGGAAGGUUACCCAUGAUCACAUCUGACGAGUCCUCUACCUGAGCUGCAUUCAUCAAAUUGACCUUGGAAAACUUAGGGUUAUGCUUGACCACAGCUGUACUUGCCAAUCUGACAGGAGGAGGAGGAGGAGGAAGACGCCUCUGGUUGAGACACUUAUUGGCAUAGUGACCCUUCUGUUGGCACUUGUUGCAUGUGACCUUAGAAAGCGGACGGUGAUACGGAGCACUCGAUCUUGGAGCUUGAGACGAAGUCUUGUUCUGAAAGCCAGGGUUGGGUGGGUGGGAAGAACCACUGCCACCUUUGCUCUUCUGCUGAAACGGCUGACAGAACGGAGGAGGAGGAAGCCAAAACUUCUGCUGCUUGGCCACUUGAGUAGAGGAAGAAGGAGUAACAUCUCUGACUCGCUUCCUGAAAGCAUCACACCUCAACUGAGCAGCCUCUUGCUUCAGUGCCAUGUUGUAGAACUCAUCGUAUCUCAAGGGCUCGAAGAGAACAAGAGCGAGCUGGAUAUCUUCUCUGAGACCACCCCUGAACUGGUAUAUCAUGCUCUUCUCAUCAGGCACGUCCUGCUUGGCAAAGCGGGCAAGCUUCUGGAAAAACUUGUUGUAGUCAUAGACAGACAAAGAGCCUUGCUUCAGAUUGCGGAAUUCCUCACGCUUGCUUUCAACCACGCUUUGCGGAAUAUGAUGAGCUCGGAAAUCUCGACGGAAAUCAUCCCAAGUGAUAACACGUCCACCUCUGGAAUCCUUGUACUGCUGGAACCAUUCUGCAGCUUGAUCUUUGAGUUGGAAGGAAGCGAACUUCACAAAGUCCUUAGGCCUGAUGUUACUGCACUCGAAAUGCUUACACAGAUCCACAAGCCAUUCGUCAGCAUCGGUUGCCUCAACACAAUUGCUGAAAGUCUUUGGCCCGUUAGCAAGGAACUGGUUGAGUGUAGCAAAGUGACUCUGAUUGCUGCCUUGAUUCCCUUGACUGCCUUGAUUGCGCUCUUGAAGAAUUUGCAUGAUCAGCUGUGUGCUUGCAUUAGUUGCGGCCAUCACAGCUUGCCAUGCCUCUGGAGGAGGUGGAGGUGGUGGUGGAUCAGGAUUCGGAGUCGUGCGCGUUGGAGGAGCCAUCCUGGAGAGGGUGACCACCAUUAGCACAUUGACAGAUAAAUAUUGAAGCUGAAACCAAUGGAAUGAAAAUUGCAACAUAUAGUCUUCACAUCCGAACAAAAUGAACGAAUGCAUUCCUCUUGAAAUGGUCACAUAUCCAUAAAUUGAGAAGCCACGUAGAAUUAAGGUAGAGAAAUAAAUCAACAAGGUACGGAUCAAGAACGAAUAAUCGGUAAGAAAUCCCAAUCUCAAACCAAUAUCCGUGGAAGAAGAACUAGAGCUACUAGAAUUCCCACCUAUGAAACUCCCGAACUUUUCCGGUUAUGCAAUCAGGUGUUGGGGAUACAGGGGAAGCAUAAUAUCUCACCCAAACUAGCAAAUCCUACAUCUAGCUGUAUCCAUCCUUCAACACAUAACCAAGAAAACUUCGGAAACCAUCUACCUCAAUCUUCGAAAAGCAUCCGUUAUACAAGUUAUGGCGAUACUCCCGAACUCCCGCCCCAGUACUGGGUGGCGUCGAGGUUAUCUCACCAACGAACUGCAUAAAAGAGAUUUUCGAUGUCGGCGAACAUAUCUCAAGUAUUCCAGAAUUGCAACGAUAAAAUUAUGAUGACAACACCUCAGAGCUCAACUCCCCGGGACACUUCCACUAAACCCCUGACAGGAGGCACCAAGUCAGUAUUCUCAUCAUAAGCCAUCGGAACGAUUCCAAGAUACUCGCGUGAUCCUAAAAAAAAUUUUAGUGAAAUUUGAGAAGAGAAGAGUCAAAACUCUACGUCAGGAUGCCUUACCAGAGCAAUGAGGAGACUGGGAAGUAAAAAGAAUUCCUAGACUCUCCGAUAUAUAAUUCCUAAAUGACUCAAAACAUUUUUCUAGACACAACUCGACCGCUAAAAACGAUCAAGCAAUGGGGCUCCUAAGGUCGGGGAAGGCUCUGAUUACCAACUUGUAACACCCUCGAUGCGACUAUAGCUCCCACGUGUCGAGGCACGACUUAGAGACAUAAUCGCAUUGAAGGCAUAUGUCGUAAGUUAGGCAAUCUUCACAACAUCCCAUGUAAUAUGAAUAAUAAAGGGAAGAACAUAGUUGGCUUACACUCGCCACGUCAAUCAAGAACAUAAAUAACAUUACAUCAUCCAAAACACUCAUGGCCCGACUACGGUGCCAAAAUAGAAGAGAACCCAACAUGCGACAACGGUCCCAAUCACCCCCAACCGGGCACCACUACUUAUCAUUGGGAAAGGAAACGUAGUAACGCUGAGAGUCCUCGUCGAACUCCCACUUGAGCUCGUACUCGUCACCUGGAACGGAAUCACCUGGACCUGCAUCUGGAGUUAUAGUAAUCUGUGAGUCACAGGGACUCAGCAAUCUCGCACCCUCGCGAUCAAGACUAUUUAAGCUUAUAGGAAGGGGUAUGGCAAAUAUAAGUGGAGCUGCAGCAAGCGACUAGCAAGUAUGGUGGCUAACUUAUACGCAAAAGAGGGCGAGAAGAGGAGGCAAAGCACGAGCGAGAAGCUAGAGAACAACCUGCGCAAACAUUACUCCAACACCGUGUCCACUUCCCGGACUCCGCCGAGAAGAGGCCAUCACGGUAACACACACAGUUGAUUCAUUUUAAUUAAUUAAGGUUCAAGUUAUCUACAACCGGACAUUAACAAAUUCCCAUCUGCCCAUAACCGCGGGCACGGCUUUCGAAAGUUCAAUCCCUGCAGGGGAGUCCCAACUUAGCCCAUGACAAGCUCUCACGGUCACCGAAGGAAUAGACCUCCUCCCAAGACGUUCCGAUCAGACUCGGUAUCUCGGUAAUUCAAGACACUUCGACAGGUUAAAACAAGACCAGCAACACCGCCCGAAUGUGCCGACAAAUCCCGAUAGGAGCUGCACAUAUCUCUUUCUCAGGGCACACUUAGAUGAGCGCUCCAUACAACUAAAACCAAACCUCGAGUUUCCCCGAGGGGGCGCUGCACAGGACUCUAGUUUGGACCAACACUCAGAGGAGCACUGGCCCGGGGGGGGUUAAAUAAGAUGACCCACGGGCUCCGGAAACCCGAGGGAAAAGAGGCUAGGUGGCAAAUGGUAAGACCAAGGUUGGGCAUUGUUGGAAAAGCUUUAAUCAAGGCGAACUAUCAAGGGGUUCCCAUUAUAACCCAACCGCGUAAGGAACGCAAAAUCCGGGAACAUAACACCGAUAUGACGGAAACUAGAGCGGCAAGAGUGGAACAAAACACUAGGCAAGAGGCCGAGCCUUCCACCCUUUACCAAGUAUAUAGAUGCAUUAAGAUAACAUAGCAAUUUAAUGAUAUCCCAACAAGUAAAUAAAUGUCCCAACAAGGAACGGCUCCAAUCUUCACCUGCAACUAGCAACGCUAUAAGAGGGGCUGAGCAAAGCGGUAACAUAACCAAUCAACGGUUUGCUAGGACAAGGUGGGUUAGAGGUUUGACAUGCAAUUGGGAGGCUGACAAGCAAAUGGUAGGCAUCGUAGCAUUGGCAUAGCAAAGAGCGAGCAAACUAGCAUAGCAAAGAUAGUAGUGAUUUCGAGGGUAUGAUCAUCUUGCCUGCACAGUUGUCAUAGUUGACUGGAUCCUCACAAGCAAACUCAACGGGCUCCUCGGUAGCGAAAUCGUCUCCCGGCUCUACCCAAACAAGACAAACAAGCAACAAGGAUACAAUCAACCACGUGCAAGCUCAAACAAUAAGAUGCAAUGAUGAUAUGCGAUGCGGGAUGCGAUGCGGGAUGCAAAAUGCAAGAUAUGACAGGAAAUGCAUGAACCUGGCCUCAACUUGGAAUUCCAAGGGUUUCACUGGAAAGAUGAGAUGAAAUCGCUUGAAAACGAUAUAAAGAACGCCGGAAUCGGAGUUACGGUUUGGAAAUGGCAAGCGAUUUAAGAAUGACACCGGUCUGCAAUUUACAGCAAGUAGGCAUCUAAAUGCAAUGAAAUGAACAUGCUACAGCACUCAAACAUGGCAACAAAAUACAUGGCAGGGAUUCACACAAGAUGCUUAACAAAAGACUAGCACUGAGCCACGGCCAAUUCAUCCAUUAAGAGGUUCAAACAAGCAUGGCAAAAACGCAAAUGCAAAACAGAUUCCAGACUUAGUGAAAUUAACACUUGUCUGAAAUUUCAGAUCACGAAGCCCUCUUCGGAGCAGCAAAACAACAUGAUACAUGACCUGAUUAAGAUAAAUAAGAACAUGGCAUGGAGCUACUCAACAAGCUUAACAAAAGUCCCGAAGUGACCUCGGGCCAAAAGGAUCACAAAAUAUACUAAUAAGCACACGAACAUAGCUAAAACACAAUCAGUUUUCAGACUUAGUGAAAACUGAGACAUGCUGAAAUAUAACUCAUGAAGGCACGUAAAUGAGCUCGAUGCACUCACCACGGUGCAAGUCAUGGCAAGGCAGGCAUACAUCCAUUAAGAAGGAACAAAAUUCAAGCUAGACAUGGCAAGAACAAUGGCAUAUCAUGCACGGAUCAACUACAAUAACAUCGGCAAAAUCGCAAACGAGUUGACGAUCUGCCCAGAUUCACAACGAAGCAAAAGUAGAGCUCGAUUGACUCAAGCUAGGGUGCUCCAUAAUUGCAAACAAAGACAUGGAUGGAUAGAGAAUAACAAGAUUAACAAAACUCCUUUACUGAUCAUCCUCAAAAGAGGCACGGAUCACUAGGAAACAAUACGAACAUAUGGCAUCAUGAACUAAAUAAUCCCAGACUUAGUGAAAACUACUAAGUCCCUGAAAACAGAUUUACCGGGUGCCUCACUUUGCAAGCUUGCACAAGUCACCACACACAUCCUAAAAAUGCAUGGGUUGCACCUCUGGAAAGAAGACAAAAUUCUUAACAAAACAUAUGAAGGACUCACAGGCAUAGCAUGCACACAAUAAUCAUGGCAAAAAUGACAAAAGUCUAAGAUGAACUAGCAGAUCUGACAAUUAACUCACAAAGGCUCCUUCUAACAGCAUUUCGGGCAUCAAGAUGAGCUCAAAUGAAAAUGAUGCAAUAGAAUGAAAUGAUGUACUCUCUGAGAUGAACAUUUUGAUAUGCUAUAUGCAUGAAUCGGAGCUACGGAUGCAAAGUUACGGAGCCGCGAACAGAGGUACUUGGAUCUGCAGAUUUCACGACUUAGACGAAAUUUAUACCCUGCAAAAGUCAACGGGACGAGGAUAUCCCGGGACGGAGGGAUCCGGGCGGCGGGGCUGCGUUUGGAUCGCUGAACCGGUGGAUCUGAUCCACCCGACCAGAUCGGACCCGGCCGGAGCUCCGGCGAGGCGAGGCCUCCGACGAGCGGCGGACGGCGGCCGGGGCGGCAGCGGCCGACGGCCGAGGCGGCGUCAGACGGCGGGCGGUGCGGGCGGUGCCGGUGACGCGGUGGCGGAGGCCGGAGAGCGGCAAGGCGGCGGGGAGAGCGGGUCGGCUCGGGCGGCGCGAAGCGGCGGCGGCGGCUGGCGUCGGGCGCGGGCGGCGGCGCGUGGAGGCGGCUCCACCGGGCGUCGGGGCGAGGCAAGAUGGGCACCGGGGGCCGGCCUUGGGCUCCCAGGCCGGCGGGGAUGUGGGGCGGAGGCGCGGCCAACGGGGCGGCGACACAUGGCGGCGGCGGGGUAAGUCGGACGUGUCCGGCGCCGUCGGACGUGUCCGACGGCGGCGUAUCUGAGAUUUUAGGGUUUCGGGGGAGGAGACCCGGGAUUUGGAAUGGGGGGUGUUUAAAUAGGCAUAGAGGGAGCUAGGAGAGUCCAAAUGAGAUGCGGUUUUCGGCCAUGCGAUCGUGAUCGAACGCUCUAGGACAUGGAGCAGAGUUUGGUGGGUUUUGGGCCAAAUUGGAGGGGUGUUGGGCUGCAACACUAAUGAGGCCUUUUCGGUCCCUCAGUUAACCGUUGGAGUAUCAAACGAAGUCCAAAUGAUACGAAACUUGACAGGCGGUCUACCGGUAGUAAAUCAAGGCCGCAUGGCAAGUCUCGGUCCAAUCCGGAAAUGUUUAAUCCCCACACACGAAAGAAAGCUAGAAAUGACCACUGGAGGAGAACAAAGCGCCGGAAUGCAAAACGGACAACGGGGAAAAAGCUCGAAUGCAUGAGAUGAACACGUAUGCAAAUGCAAUGCACAUGAUGACAUGAUAUGAGAUGCAUGACAACGAAAACAACACACAGAGACAAAGACCCGAACCUGAGAAAUAAAUAUAACUUAAUGCCGGAAACGGCAAGAGUUGGAGUACAAAUUGGGAAAGUUAUAUCCGGGGCGUUACAGAAGGCCUUCAUGGAGUUACUUGAUGUGGUGGAUACCGGGCUUGAGACUCCUGUCGGUUUCCGUCCUCACCGCAAUGCUACAUCCACCCACAAGCAAGCCCUUUGGCCCUACCGCACUGUGAAGGUUCACCCAGUCACUCAGAAGAAGACCUAUGAGCUGUCUCCGUAUCUGGACAUUCUUCAUCGCAUAUUCCGUGAGACUCUCUUCCCUCGGAUCGAGAAUCUGGAUAUGGUCCACUCUUACCUCGUGGACAUGCUCCUUUUCUAUCAGCAUGAGAAGGAAGCAAGCACUGGAGAGAGCCUGGAUAUCUCUCAUGUCAUGUGGUCUGAACUUCUAUCUGUCGUGUCUGAGCACAAGUGUCCUAUCUAUGGUCCAUUCAUCAUGAGGCUCAUUGAGAGGGCCUGGGCACAGACUUAUCCCAGAGUGCUGCUAGAGACUGGAGACUUGGUGUCUCAUGAGAUCAAGCGUCUGAGGAAGAAGGACAACUGGACAGCGCCUCACACAGGGGGUCCAUCUGCUACUGCUGCCAUAGGAGGUCCGUUUGUUGAUGCUGCUGCUGCUGCUAUUGCUGCCAUGGGGACCGAGGGUGAGGCUGCUACUGAUGAUCAUGAGGAGAACUUUGGCCCCUCUAGUGCAGAACCGUCGUGGGCACAGAAGCUUAAGCGCAAGAUGAAGAAGCUUUUCUGCAUGGAGUCUCAUGUUCAGUACAUGACUCGUGUGGCGGAGAAGCAUGCCAGGACGCACCACAAGGAGCUCAUGCGUCAGAUGGGAGCAACUGUUGUCAGUGGGUCUGAGGGUCUGAUCACUGGAGAGGAGGACUGGAUUCAUCAGAAUUGCCACCGGACCGACUCCGAUGCCGAGCAGUUUUCGACCCACGAUGAAGAUGCAGAGAUGUGAUGUUCGAGACCUUCCCCUCCCAUCACCUGGAGUCGUAGUGUCACUCUAUGCCCUUUUUGGUGUCUCGCUGCCAAAGGGGGAGAGAGAGUAGGGAUUUGCUUCUUGUGUCGUGCUUUGAGUCGUCUUGUGUUUUCUUGUGUGUUCCUUCUUUGGUUUGGUUUGGUGUGAGACCUAAGUCCUAGUCAUAUGGUGUAAGACAUAUGCUCCCUAUCGCUACCUUAUUACUUAUGUCACUUCAGAGUACUGUAGUUUAUAUUGAGAUGCAUGCUUGUCCUGUUUAUUCUCUUCUCUCAUAUAUCUUGUGCUUAGUGUUGUUGGACUAUAAAAUAUAGGAGGAGUGUUGAUCCGAAUGUGUGUGUCGUGCCUUAUCUUGGUGCACACAUUUUGGGGGAGCCCGUCUAUAUUUUGUAGUUCUUAGUUUUAUUCGUUUUAAUUCUUUUCCUUGCGCAAAUCCCUUGUUGUCAUCAAUCCACCAAAAAGGGGGAGAUUGUUACGGCAUAUCUCUCUCAAGGUAGUUUUGGUGAUUGAUGACAACAUGUUUGCGGACUAAUCUUGUGCGUUGAAUUAUUCUCAGAUUCUCCCCUGGCACGAGACGCUUUCUUCCCCUCGGAGUGUAUUUCAAGACGGUGUAGCUCUUUCAUUUCUUUCUAGGUGGACUAGUUGCGUAGAGGGCACCGUACUAUCAAGAGGGGGUCCGCUGGGGUUUUGCUUGGGUGGAAUCAUCACGUACACAUCAGCUUCUCACCCUUCGAGCUUUUCCUGUCCAUUGAAGAGAUCUCUCCUCUCUUCCUUGUUCUGUCUAGGUCUAAGCGGCAGUACCGCGCACCCAGCGGUAGUACCGCUGAGAAGCCACAAGCGGCAGUACCGCUUCGCAGCGGUAGUACCGCUGUGGCUCCACAGCAGUAGUACCGCUGGGGGCCUGGCACCUCCGCUGGUCCUCGGCUUAUUUGAGAGAUCCCUUCUCUCUCGCGCGCGCGCCCCAGCGGUAGUACGGCUGGGUAGUUUGGCUCCUACCGCCUCGAUUCGAGAGGUCUUUUUCUCGUGUGUAGUUUUGCGGCACUAGUCACGGUUGUAGUGGUGGUAGUAUCGUUCCAGGAGCGGUAGUACCGCCCUACCAUCGCGGUAGUACCGCAUUUGGGUCCGUUCCAUACUAAGUCUCCUCGGCGCGGCAGUAUCGCUGGUUGGCGUGGUAGUACCAUCGCCUGGCGGUAGUACCGCCCCCUCUCAGCUGUAGUACCGCCCUGUGCGGGGCUGGUUGGUGGGGGGCAACGGGAUUGUUGCCCCCACUAUAAAAGGGAGUCCCCUUCCUCCUUCUCACCUACCUCUUCCUCCCCCAAGCUCCAUUUAUUGCUCAAGCUCCAUUAAAUACUCCAAGCUUCAUUUCCGCCCGAUCUAUCUCUCUAGCCAAUCAAAUUUGUUGAUUUGCUCGGGAGUGGUUGAGAAGGCCCCGAUCUACACUUCCACCAAGGGAUUUUCGAUUCCCCCACUCAUUCCUAGUGGAUCUUGUUACUCUUGGGUGUUUGAGCACCCUAGACGGUUGAGGUCACCUUGGAGCCAUAUUCCAUUGUGGUGAAGCUUCGUGGUCUUGUUGGGAGCCUCCGAUUAAGUAGUGGAGAUUGCCCCAACCUUGUUUGUAAAGGUUCGGUCGCCGCCUUCAAGGGCACCAAUAGUGGAAUCACGGUAUCUCGCAUUGUGUGAGGGCGUGAGGAGAAUACGGUGGCCCUAGUGGCUUCUUGGGGAGCAUUGUGCCUCCACACCGCUCCAAUGGAGAUGUACUUCCCCUCAAAGGAAGGAACUUCGGUAACACAUCCUCGUCUCCACCGGAUCCACUCUUGGUUAUCUCUUACAUUUACUUGUGCAAGCUCUUUAUUGUUUCUACCCUUGCUUGCUUGUAUGCUUGUUGUUAUUGCAUCAUAUAGGCUGCUCACCUAGUUGCACAUCUAGACAACCUACUUUGAUGCAAAGUUUAAUUUGGUAAAUAAAAGCUAAAAAUUGGUAGUUGCCUAUUCACCCCCCCCCCCUCUAGUCAACCAUAUCGAUCCUUUCAGCUGUGAAGGAGGUGGCUCAUGCCAGGAAGAGCUCCCUGGCUGUGAAGGAUGAGGUUCUACACGGUGCACAGAGGGUCGUGGUUCUGAACGGUGCACAGAGGGUCGUGGUUCUGAAUGUUGUACAGAGGGACGUGGCAGACGAUGUGCUGGAGGAGGAAGUUCAACAUCCGAAGUCCUUCUACACAUAACAGCUGCGUAAAUCCCGCGUAGCUUGUCAUCAAGACGCCUCAACCAUGAGACGCCCUCUCGCGGUGGUAUAGUUUCUCCCCUCUGAAAGCGCCGCAUUAAAGCGGAAACCUCCUUUGCGCCUGUACUGUCAAGUCACCCUGUACACAAAGAGUUAACCAAUUAUAUCCUCGUUGUAUGAUAGACACCACGAAUAGACAACCAAGCGAAUAUGUCUAGAUUAACAAAAGACUUAACAUAUGAGAACCAAGGCAUUUACCGCGUGGUGUCUGGUUCCCACAAUAGAGGCAGUUGGGUACAUAUCGCUGGUGAGAGGGGCUUCGAUCUUAUCAGGAGCAGAUGAUGGAACCAAGUAGAUCCUCGUUGUAUGCCGGUAACGUUGCAGAUACAACCUGAACAUUUCCCAGUUAAAGGGCCGAACCUCACCCCAGAUAUUUGUCGCAGCGGUAGUCCAUUCAUCAACGUAAGGGGUAAUGCUCUUAAGCCAAUAAGCCAUGUACUUGUUUCUUCCUAGGCGACUAUCCCUGAGAUUGACAUGCGCAAUACAUGAUUAGGUAUAUUAUGAAUGCAGAGCUGACAACUAAAAUAGUAUUAGUACUUACUUGUGCACGUGUUCUGGCAAGUGUGGAAUAUCUGGAAUCUUGGGCUCUUCAUAUAGACCGAACUGUCUCAUCACCCUAUGAAGAGACAUCUCCUCAACCGUCACGUCGAACACCAACUUGGCCUUGGUCAUCCAAAAGUGCCGAUCUCUAGUGCACAAUCCAGAAAAUCUCAACUGGGUACCUCGAUGAUAUAGCCUGAGGCGAGUAUGGCUCCCAAAUAACUUGAUCCUCGUGCAAACUAUCAAACUGCGCCAUGAAGGACGGGUAGCAUCCCCUAACCUGAGUAUGCGCAAACUGUCUCUGUGCAUGACAACAAAUAAGCAUUAGUAAUACUAUUGAAUGGCAAGAAAUAAUUGAAUUAAUUGUUACUUAAUAUAAAAGUACCCCUCGCCGUGUCCAAACAGAUCCCAUAGUAGGUAAGUCGCCGAUAGCAGGCACAUAAGUCCCAGCUAAGUCCUUCAAACCAAAAGGUUUAUCAACGUAGACAUAGGGUCAUCCAAUAGGGAAUCUCUCGUAUGACCAGAGCUACAACAAUAAUGGACAUCCAACAAGACUAGAUUUUCUAGACUUCAACAAGCAAGCUUUGCACAGGCCUCUGUACGUAGCCGCUAACACAGCAGAACCAAAACUCCUUUGUAGAAUAUUCACAGGGCAACGUGCAUCAGCUAUCUCUCGUGCAAUACCGAUGAGUCGUGCAUCGACAGUGGUCAAGUGGUUCUCCGUAAACAUCAUCUUGCCGAACAGCCAAAGAAUAUAUGCCUCUAGGGACCGGUCAAUCUGUGCCUCCGACAACUGAACGUUGGGAUAUCCUAACGAGACAAUCUACAUAGAAACGUAAUAAUUGUAUGAACAUCGGACAACUAAAAAACAACAUUUGUUUAAGUGGCCGUGAUGGUUACCUGAAACUGGCUCAACCAUCUAAAAAGAGGUCCAUGAGGAUCAUUGUCUAUGGCCCUAGCAGUCGGGACCGCAGCCAAAAAACGGGUCUGCAUCGCUGCUUGCCACCCAGAUUCUGCCUCUAAGGGACCUAUGGCAGCACCGGCCAGAGGUAAUCCCAACAAGUAAGACACAUCCUGUAAAGUAGGCGCCAUCUCUCCCCAGGGAAAGUGAAACAUAUGUGUCUCUGGUCUCCAUCUAUCUACUAAGCAGGUAAGGAGUGACUUGUCGUAAGAGAAACGUUUCACUUGCCUCUUGUGUAACUGCAAUGGUUCACCUGCCUCAUCUAAGUCCGGACCAUCAAUCCACUCAUCCAAUGUACCCUCAACCAAUCGUGCCGAGGGUAGAAGUCCAGCCCAACUUAACCUACAAAAUAAAGAGAUUGUUAGAGGUUAUGAAAAGUAUGUCAAACAUAGUAAGUCAUUAUAUGGACUCCAUUAUAUGCACACAUACCUAUCAACCCAUGAAUCGUGUAUCAGCCAGUUAGUCUUUGGGGUACGAGUGACCAACACGUCUAAGUUGUUGCCCGCUUCCGUAAGGGCGCUCCGGUGCUUUCUAUCGAUGUUACCAUUAAGCAACGGAUACGAAGACAUAUCUGCAAUUUAAACAACAAAUCUCAUAUGCAAAUAAAACAUAGUACAACAUAUUACAAAUUAUAACAUAGUCCUGACAUAUUACGAAUUAAAACAUAGUCCUAACAUAUUACAUAUUAAAACAUAGUCCUGACAUAUUACAAAUUAAAACAUAGUCCUGACAUAUUACAAAUUAAAACAUAGUCCUGACAUAUUACAAAUUAAAACAUAGUCCUGACAUAUUACAUAUUAAAACAUAGUCCUGACAUAUUACAUAUUAAAACCCACUACGACACAUUAUAUAGCUUGUGAGUUAUUUCUUCCUCGUUCUCCCCUUCGGCCUCGACUGCCACGACCAUGUCCACCUCUUUCUUCUGUUGUCGCAGCCGUCGAUGUGGAAGCACUCGUCGAUGCGAAAGCACCAUCUUUGUUCAGGUCGGGACAAUAUUUCAUCCUAUGCCCAUAAGCCGCGCAUAACAAACAUUGUCUGGUUGCUCCACCAGCUUCAGACUGGUCCAUAUCGUUCCGGAUGCGACGGGCCUUUCGUCUGCCCCUACUUGUUCGCCGAAGGUCUGGAUGCGGGAUGUAUACUCUCUCACCGUCGUUUACCUUGUUGAAAUUGCCGACGACUCUAAACCCUGUCAUCUCGCCUGUCCAGGUGUUGAGCACUGCCUCUUUUAAAUAGUAUGGGGACACGAAGGAUAUAGCAUCCAACUCAAUCUGGCCACAGGCAGCCAACACAUGAGAGCAAGGUAGGUGCAACAACUUCGGUUUGUUGCAUGUACACUCACACGUUGGAUAAAAUUCCGUUCCAAUUUUUACCUCGUGUGUCUUCACCUCAUUUCCAGAACCAAAACCAUCGGUAGGAAGCUGAACCUCAUACCUCCUUUCUUGAUUCCCUAUGAGUCUGACAGUGUGCUUCUUUGCUUUCUCUAUCUUCUUUGCCAUGUAUUCCAUGACACGGCUACAAUAAGGUGUGUUCUGAUUAUCUUCAAUAUGCUUCUUUGCUAACUCGUGCCUUUCUCUAAAAUAUCUCAAAGUGCCAUGGAAUACAGCCUCCACAAUUGCUGUGAGUGGCAAUGCUCUAUUCCCUCUCAGCACAAAGUUAUACACCUCUGCAAGAUUGGUUGUCAUGUGGCCAUACCUAGCUCCAUGUGUGUCAUGCAGCAAAGACCAAUUCAUUGGAGGCUCUUUCUCUAUCCACUCAGAAAAAUUCUUUAUUGCCCUUCCCUUCUUUCUCUUAGUAUUAGGAGGGUCAAUUGCUGGCAAGUCACAAAGACCUACUGGCUCCUCUAGCUCCGUGAUGAGUGCUGCUAAUUUAACCUGGUCUUCUUCCAUUUUCUUCCUCGCACGGACUUGCUUCUUAGUAAACUCAUCUAGUUUUGACCAAAUAAAUUCGUAUUUGCGCUGCUGGCUCUGGUUGCAUAAUUUUUUGAACAAGUUCAUCAACCGCUUGUUCUUGAACUGUGAGAAAAAAUUAGCCCCAAGAUGGCGCAUGCACCACUGGCUCUGCAAGUCCCUCCAAGGUGUUGGUUCAUCAUCUGUUGGAUUACAAAGUGUCUUCACGGCCUUCAAUAUACCAGCAUGUCUGUCAUGAAUGACACACACGUUUGGUCGGUCCUUCACGAUGGCAAUUUUCACUUGGCGGAAGAACCAUAACAAGCUGAGAAAGUUCUCACCCUCCACAAAUGCCAUGGCAAAUGGGAUGAUUUGAUUGUUCCCGUCCACACCAAUAGCGGUCAUGAUUUGCCCUCUAUACUGACCGGUCAGGAAUGUACCAUCCACAAACAUAACAGGAGGAUAAUGUUGGAAAGUUUCAAUGCACAUAGCAAAAGAGAAGAACACUCGUUUCAACACCUUGAAAUCUAGUAUACUCAGUAACCUCAUGUGUUGUACGUUCACAUAAGUGUCGGGAUUCCUCUCCUCUAGUAUGCCCAGGAGACGGACAACAUUAUCAUAUGAGUCGAAGAACGUCCCAAACCUUUCCUCCAUAGCCUUCUGCUUAGCCCUCCAAGCCUUCCCAUAAGGAAUGACAUAAUUCCAUCUGACCUUCACUGCUGUCUGGAUGUGUUUUGCUUUCAUAUCUUUCUUCUCUAUUAUCUCAGUAUACAUGAGUUGCACAAUAAGACUUGAAGUCGGGUUCGGAUGCUUCACCAGCAGGUUCUUUCUCACACAAUUAUGUGGGACGAUAAUGGUGACAACCCAGUGGAUGUCAUACUUCGGCACGUGCCCGUGCACCUUCCCAAGACAACCUGUUACAACACAUUUCACGAUAUAGUUUGCUGGACUUGAUAUGUGUGUCCGAAAAACCCUCUGCGUAGACAUAGCCCACUUUAUCACCGCAUACUUCAUUUUUUUCUUUGUAUCAAACAUAGCCCCUAUAUGUACUUGGUUCAGAUUAUACUGCCAUGGAGUCUCAUGGCCAUCGUUGACCGUAAGGCCGAUGGAUAUGUCCUGCUCCCAUGCAGAAGGAAUCGGUACCUCCACUUCAUCCUCAGAAUUUUCAGAAUCCAGUUCCUCCACCAAUCCAUCCUCGUCCUCUUCCUCCAUCAGCCUCUGCAUUUCAUCCCCUUCCUCAUCCCCAUCAGCAAUACCAAAACCAGCUAAUAUUAUCGACUGGCUACUCUGCCCAGUAUCAGGACCACAAACAUUGUGUGGCACGUAGUCUGACUCUUUCUCAGGUUGGCUAGCAUCCACAUCUUGUGACUGUGAUCCGGAUAAAACAAUCUCGUUAGCCACUUCACUGCCUUGGCCGGGUUCAUACCCCCUGUGGAGUUGUAUGGUAUUCUCCUCCUUCGGCAUAGGUUGCACAAGUGCAUAUGGGUGGAUUCUUCAGUCUCGGCACCGUCUUAACAAGGGCAACCAAUGCUGGCUCCUAUCUACCGGCAUCAACUCCCACUUGACAUUUUUACAAGAUUUGGUCCACAAUGCAUGAAUACUGACGGAACAUACUUCAGGAUCCAGCCCGAAACUAGUUGUCAACCAGUACUUCAAUUGUCUAAUGUCCAGUCUGUCCGGGUCUGCUAGUGUCAUGACUCCAUUUUUAAACUCGCUAAGAUCAACCCCCAACUCAUUAUAUCGAACAUUACCAGUGCCGUAGUAAACAUUCAGAUUUACUGAUUCGGAUAUUUUCACCUGUCAGACAUUGCCAUCUUCUCAUUAAUCACAACGAACACUAAUAUUAUCCGCUACACUAACUAAAAUCCGCUAAAAUGCCACCACAUACAAAUUAACACUAACACAAUUUUUAUUAUCCGCUAAACUAACACAAUCAUUAUUAUUCUGCUACACUAACACAAUUAUUACUCCGCUAAAAUGCCACCACAUACAAAUUAACACUACAAUUCGCAAUAUAAUUUAUCUACGCUAACUAAACUAUGCAACUCAGAGAAAAUUUGUGAGGAGAUGAUUAUACCUUAGCGGAGGUGCUUGCACCACUGAACAACGACAGCACCACCGCCGCCCCCUCGACGACCGGAGGUUCAACUCCAGUCACCCCCAAGCCGCACCUCCUCCUCCACAGCUGCUGCUCCUCAUCAACACCUCCUGCCCAACCGCAUCUCCUCCUCCCCACCAUGGCUCCUCCUCCCCACCAUGUCUACUCCUCCCCAAACGCACAGAAAACUAUCCCAUAGCAAAAAAAACACCGUAGGCCAUUUGAGAUUGCUACGAUCUACCGAUUCAGUGGCUUAGAUGUGAAAAUGGGUGGCAAACGGAGGAGAUCAGCUAGGGAUGGUGAGGUACAGAGAAGAAACGAGAGAGAGAAAGAAGAACAGAGGCGAACAGGCGAGAGGAAGGAGACGCCGCGCGGUGCCUUAUCCGGCGCUUUUCGGUCAAUGCGUGGCUGAAAAGUACUUCGGCCGCUGCCUGGCCGAAAAGGCCCACUUCGGUCGGUCCCAGGCCGAAGCUACUAUUUUCAGCCAUACUUCCACCGACACUCGAUUUUCGGCCCAGCUAGGCGUAUCUUCGGUCAACCGCGGGCCGAAAAGCCCAUUUCGGCCAAGCUGCGACCGAAAAGUGCCACUUCGGCCAACACCUGCCCGACGGGCUACUAGUUUUGGUUUUUUUGCAUUACGUGCUAUAGUUCUCGAAAAUGCUAUAUAAUAUAUCAUAGUUUUGAAAAAAAAUUAUAAUUAACUGGCAUGGAAAUCUUUUCUUCUUCUUCUUCUUCUUCUUCUUCUUCUUCUUCUUCUUCUUCUUCUUCUUCUUCUUCUUCUUCUUCUUCUUCUUCUUCUUCUUCUUCUUUGAAUUUGACCGGGGCCAUGUGUCAGCGUCGUACUGUCAGGUAGGUUCAUGAGCGGACCAGCUCCUCAGGUCUAUACACUUGUGCCUCUCCCAGCUGCCUCGUGGCGCCCAGACCCUUCGAGAGAAAACAAGCAUGGCCGAUUCCUACAAACAAAAACUCGGCAAUCUCUCCACCGCUUCUCUCAGAAGGCCAGAACCCAGCAAAGCACUUGCCCUGUUUCGGCGCGCUGCUUCAGGAAGCGAGUGUUGAUCACACAGGCCCGAGGCAAGAUGGCGCGCAGGCCGGGGGCGGAGGAGGAGAGGCCGUGGGGGCUGGCUGAACACGGGAGGCUGGGGAAACGGAAGGUGGUGGGCGUGGUGGUGCUGGACGGAUGGGGCGAGGCGCCGCCCGACCCCUUCAACUGCAUCCACGUCGCCGACACCCCCACCCUCGACGCCCUCAAGAAGGUACCUGCGUCUCUCUUCUCUUCUCUCACGCUGCUUCAUCGGUUCCGGUUCGGUUCCUACAUGCGGAUGGAGAUCCUUUGCUUGUGUGGUUGCAUGGCAUGGCAGGGUGCUCCGGAGAGGUGGAGGCUGAUCAAAGCUCACGGCACGGCCGUGGGGCUGCCUACGGAUGAUGACAUGGGGAACAGCGAGGUCGGCCACAAUGCGCUUGGAGCCGGCCAGAUAUAUGCCCAGGGGUAAUGCUCCCAAUGCUACAUCCACGGCCAAUUAAGGGCUCCUUUGAUUCAAAGGAUUUGCAUAGAAAUUUUGAAGGAUUGGUAUCCUUAGGAAUUUUUUCUAUGUUGAUUGUUUGAUUCAUAGGAUUGAAUCCUAUAGGAUUUUUUUCCAAAGGAAUUUUUUGUACUACUUCUCAUAGGAUUUCUAGCAUCCACUCAAACCUCUUUAAAAGAAUCCUUUGUUUUUCCUAUGAUGCUCAAACAACCUAAAACCCUAUAGGAUUGAGAUGAGCAUGACAUUCCAAUCCUAUGUUUUUCCUAUUCCCAUGUUUUUAUAAUCCUGCAAAUCAAAGAGGCCCUAAGUAUGGUUUGCGGGGGUUGAGAUCCUCUACAGUACUGUACGGUGCUGUAGUGCGGAUGACAUAUGGGGCCGGGUCCACACGGCAAUGAUAGUACUGCAUCAUACAGUACUGCAGACGAUCCUAGCCCGGUUUAUGGGGGAUUGGCCAGUUGGCAAUUUUUGAUUGGAGGUAAGAGGGGAGGCCGGCCCCACCCCUGUUGAAUUUUUUUUGGGGGGGGGAGAGGAUUAGGAGGAAGGUUACGUAACAUCUUUCGUAGGUGUAGUAUUAUUGCUAGUACAACUUCCGUCCGGAAUUAACUGUCUCUGAAAUGAGUGUUAUGAGUGUAUCUACAUGUGUUUCGGUGUGUAGAUACGUUACAGUUAAUUUCGGACAGAGUGAGUACUAGAAUAAUAAGAUUUGCAGUGUGUUAUGAAAAAUUUGUGGAAGCCAUAUAAGGACACUUGUUUAUUUAUCUCUUAAAGGUGGCUAUCUUACUCCUUAGGACCUCUUUGAUUCAAAGGUUUUUCAUAGGUGUUUUAAGGAAUUUCACUCUUUAGGAUUGUUUAUUGAAAUUUCUAUUUGCGAGUUAUUUAUUGCCAAAGAGGAGUCGGGUGCUACUUAUUUCCAAAGAGAGUCGGGGAGUACUCGCCUCGGGAGAAUACACAUGAGAUUUGUAGGAAUUUCCCUACGUGGGUUGUUUGAUUUGUAGUAGUAUUGAAUCCUAUCAAGCAUUUUCUCAGUGAUUUCCUCGCGUAACAUUUCAAAGAAAAUUUUAUGUUUGCUCAAACCUCUUGGAAAGAAUCCUUUAUUUUCUUACAAUACAAUCGAUCAUUUUUUGGUACACAUUCAUUCGUGUAUGAUUCGAGUGGGCCUGUGUUAUGACCGGCUUGGUCUAUUCUAGGAAGAGGCCCACCGGGCAUUAGUAUUAGGGGCUUGGCCCGCAAGUUAUCUUAGUCAAGUUAUCUUAGGAAAGUUAUCUUAGGCUAAAGUUAUAAACUCAUGUAAGGCAUCGUUUUGAGGCAAGCAAUAAAGACUAUUAUUAUCUUUUGUUGCCCGGCUUCUAGAGGAGCCAGAAACCCUAGCCGCCGCAGCCAAGCCGCCGCAGCCCUCAACCCUAGCCGCGACGGCGCCCUGCCGCCGGCGCACCCGUUCCUCGCCGCGUCCACUCCCUCCUUCCCCCUACAACCUUCGCAGUAGAGCCGGUAGGAACCCUACUCCUACCAAUUUGGUAUCCCUAGGAUCACAGUGGCGAACGGCGAUCGCCUCCGGUGUCAUGGGCUAGCCCGCGACGUUCCCAUCUCCAUCGGCGGUGAACACUUUUCCAUCACCUGUGCUGGGAUCGAUAUGGGCUGUUUCGACUUCAUCCUCGGGGUGGACUUUCUCCGGACCCUCGGCCCCAUCCUGUGGGAUUUCGACGCGCUCACGAUGACAUUCUGGCGGCAGGGCCGCCGCAUCCGGUGGGAGGGCAUUGGGGGCGCCGCGCCUGCCGUGCCACACCUCCAGCUGGCUGCCGCGUCCUCGGAGGCCGAGCACCCCCUGCUGGAUUCUCUUCUGCAGCAGCACAGCGACCUCUUCGACGAUCCGCGGGGUCUUCCGCCUGCCCGGGUGUACGACCAUCAUAUUCACCUCGUACCAGGCUCCACUCCGGUGGCGGUGCGACCCUACCGCUACCCCCAGCUGCAGAAGGAUGAGUUGGAGCGCCAGUGUGCCCUGAUGCUCGCCGCAGGCAUCAUCCGGAUCUCCACGUCGCCCUUCACGGCGCCGGUGCUUCUCGUCCGUAAGUCAGACGGCACAUGGCGCUUCUGCAUCGACUACCGCGCCCUCAACGCACUCACGCUCAAGGACAAGUUCCCUAUACCGGUGGUCGACGAGCUCUUGGAUGAGCUCCAUGGGGCACGCUUCUUCACCAAGCUCGAUCUCCGGUCGGGCUAUCAUCAGGUGCGCAUGCAUCCGGACGACAUCGCCAAGACGGUGUUUCGCACCCACCAUGGCCACUUCGAGUUCUUGGUGAUGCCUUUCGGCCUCGCCAACGCCCCGGCGAUGUUCCAGGCCCUGAUGAACGACGUCCUUCGACCCUACUUACGGCGGUUUGUGCUUGUUUUCUUUGAUGACAUCCUUAUCUACAGCGCCACCUGGGACGAACAUCUCCAGCACGUCGCCAUCGUCUUCAACGAGCUUCGGGCGCACCACCUCCACCUUAAGCGCUCGAAGUGCUCGUUCGGGACGCCUACCGUCGCCUACCUCAGCCAUGUCAUCUCGGCCGACGGGGUGGCUAUGGACGCCGAUAAGGUGGCGGCCGUCUCCGCCUGGCCGACGCCUCACUCGCCGCGGGCUCUCCGCGGGUUCCUCGGACUCGUCGGCUACUACCGGAAAUUUAUCCGGGAGUUCGGACUCAUCGCGGCGCCCCUCACGCGAUUGCUUCGCCGCGACGCCUUCGCCUGGGACGACGAGGCGAUGACGGCGUUCGAGGCCCUCAAGGGGGCCCUCACGACGGGCCCCGUCCUCCAGAUGCCCGACUUCGACUGGCCGUUCGUGGUGGACUAUGACGCCUCGGGCGCCGGGUUCGGCGCCGUACUUCAUCAGGGCGAUGAGCCCCUCGCUUUCUUCAGCCGGCCUUUCGCUCCGAGCCAUCUUAAGUUGGCAGCCUACGAGCGGGAGCUCAUUGGCCUCGUCCAGGCCGUACGUCAUUGGCGGCCAUAGUUGUGGGGGCGGACCUUCCACAUUCGCACGGACCACUACAGCCUGAAGUUCUUGCUGGAUCAACGGCUGUCGACCGUCCCGCAGCACCAGUGGAUCACCAAGCUCUUCGGCUUUGACUUCUCCGUCGAGUAUCGGCCGGGCCGUCUUAACACCGUGGCCGACGCGCUGUCCCGUCGCGAUUCCGACCUCGCGCCAUCCGCCGACGCGUCCGCUGGGACGGCCUUGUGCAUCCGCUCCGGGCCAUCGUUCGGUCUCUUCACCGACAUUCGACGCGCCACUGCGACGGCAAAUGACGCCGCACUUCUUCAGCAGCAGCUCGCGGCCGGCGACUUGGAGGAGCCCUGGUGCUUCUCUGACGGACUGCUCCUCCAUGGGCGCCGGAUCUUUGUUCCAGCGCAUGAUGAUCUCCGUCACCAGGUGUUGUAGCUCGCCCACUCGGCGGGCCAUGAGGGUGUGCAGAAAACCCUCCAUCAUCUUCGCGCCGACUUCUACAUUCCUGGCGAUCGUGCCCUGGUCCGCGACUGGGUUCGGUCUUGUCAGACUUGCCAGUGCAACAAGACAGAGACCCUGAGGCCGGCGGGGCUCCUUCAGCCCUUGGAGGUGCCGUCUCAGGUUUGGGCGGAUAUCUCCUUGGACUUCAUCGAGGGCCUUCCCAAGGUGGGGGGCAAGUCAGUCAUCCUCACGGUGGUCGAUCGCUUCUCUAAGUACGCCCACUUCAUCGCGCUGGGCCAUCCAUACACGGCGGCAUCCGUGGCCCGGGCCUUCUUCGACGGCAUAGUCCGUCUACACGGGUUCCCGACGUCGAUCGUCAGUGAUCGGGACCCAGUCUUCACGGGCCAUGUCUGGCGCGACCUCUUCAGGAUGGCGGGUGUCCAGCUCCGCCUGAGUACGGCGUUCCAUCCUCAGACGGACGGUCAGUCUGAGGUGGUUAACAAGGUCAUUGCCAUGUAUUUGCGUUGUGUGACAGGUGAUCGGCCUCGCGCUUGGGUGGACUGGCUCUCUUGGGCGGAGUACUGCUACAACACUUCGUAUCACUCCGCCCUGCGCGCGACGCCAUUUGAGGUGGUCUAUGGUCGACCACCCCCGCCUAUACUUCCGGUCGACCCGGAGACGGCUCGGACGGCGGUUGCGGGUGACCUUAUCCGCACCCGUGAUGAGAUGCUGGCUGAGGUCCGUCAGCGUCUCCUUCAGGCCCAGCAGACGGCCAAGCACUACUAUGACGAUCAUCAUCGCGAGGCGGAGUUCGCAGUGGGUGACUGGGUGUGGCUGCGUCUUCUCCACCGCUCUACGCAGUCACUGGACCCGCGCGCGAAGCGCAAGCUUGGCCCUCGCUACGCCGGGCCCUUCCCUGUCGUGGAGCGCAUUGGGAAGGUGGCCUAUCGUCUUCAGCUUCCAGCCCGCGCCCGCAUCCACGACGUGUUCCAUGUGGGGCUGCUCAAGCCUUUUCAUGGGAGCCAUCGGCGGCUCCUCCGGCACUUCCUCCAACCGCCGAUGGUCGCAUUCUUCCAGAGCCAGCAAAGGUGUUGCAGGCCCAGCUCCGUCGUGGCGUCUGGUUCGUCCUAAUUCAGUGGGCGGGCCUUCCGGAGGAGGAGGCUACUUGGGAGCAGCGUGAAGAUUUCCGUCAACACUAUCCAGACUUUCAGCUCGAGGACGAGCUGUUUGCGCAGGCGGGGAGAGAUGUUAUGACCGGCUUGGUCUAUUCUAGGAAGAGGCCCACCGGGCAUUAGUAUUAGGGGCUUGGCCCACAAGUUAUCUUAGGCAAGUUAUCUUAGGCUAAAGUUAUAAAUACUCAUGUAAGGCAUCGUUUUGAGGCAAGCAAUAAAGACUAUUAUUAUCUUUUGUUGCCCGGCUUCUAGAGGAGCCGGAAACCCUAGCCGCCGCAGCCAAGCCGCCGCCGCCCUCAACCCUAGCCGCGACGGCGCCCUGCCGCCGGCGCGCCCGUUCCUCGCCGCGUCCACUCCCUCCUUGCCCCUACAACCUUCGCAGUAGAGCCGGUAGGAACCCUAGUCCUACCAGCCUGACAUUUCAAUUUUGUGUUCUUUUUCUACUACUUUGUUUUUGGGAUCUUCCUAAUUGUUAUCAAAGCCAGUGACACUAUAGUAGUAAUAGUGAUAAUAAACUAUGUAAAAGGGAUACUUACUAUGCUAGUAAUAAUUAUAAUAAACACUUUGUAAAGAAAUUUGAAUACACUAUGCGUUGUGUGUGUAGGUUUGUUGCCGACUUUAGUCAUUUUAGAUAUUGAACUUGUAUGUUGGCUUUCUAUGCUGGUAUAAUGUAUGAACAAAUGGAGGCAUGUGACCUAGUGGUCGUUCAUAUACACCUUGGUUUAAUCCUUGCGAUUGACAUUGUAACCGUACUUGUUCCGGUUACUCGGGCGGGACAAAAUGUGAUGGUGUUAAGUAGGCGAGGGAGUGUGCGGGUCUGCGUGCUUUGCGAUGGUGUGUGCGGGUUAGUGCUAGCAUAAGGACAACAGUCAUGUAUGACCAAAGCGACCAAGUUAAUUUCAGUACAACUACCUUGGUGAAGCUACUUAUUAAGCAAAAGUUAGUGAUCAUUUGUGCACAACGUGCAGUGCAAAACUGGUGGAUUUGGCGCUUGACUCUGGGAAGAUAUAUGAGGGGGAGGGUUUUAAGUACAUCCAGCAGUCUUUUGACACCGGUACUUUGCACCUCAUUGGUUUGCUGAGCGAUGGGGGCGUGCAUUCAAGGAUCGAUCAGCUGCAGGUUACACCAUUUUUCUUCUAAGCAGAGUUCAUUCUGCAGUGUAGUUCCAGGCUGAUGUGAAUGAUUUGGCUGUGGCAGCUGCUUCUGAAGGGGGCUAGUGAACAUGGAGCGAAGAGGAUACGGGUUCAUAUCCUUACCGACGGUCGCGACGUAUUGGAUGGAAGCAGUGUCACAUUCGUGGAAACGCUUGAGAAUGAUCUGGCUAAGCUACAGGAGAAGGGUGUUGAUGCAAGGAUUGCAUCUGGUGGAGGCAGGAUGUAUGUUACAAUGGACCGCUAUGAGGUGAUCUCUCCUAUCCUAUCCUACUUCAAAAAAUUGUGUGUUUCUUCAGGGAUGUACCCUGCAGCAGCAAUACUGCAAUUAUAACUUCUUUUUUGCGAGAUACUGCAGUUAUAACUUUGUAUUUCUUGUUGUUAUGCAGAAUGAUUGGCAAGUUGUGAAGCGUGGCUGGGAUGCCCAGGUUCUUGGUGAAGCCCCACACAAGUUUCCAAGUGCCCUUGAAGCCGUGAAGAAGCUGAGGGAUGAUGAUCCCAAGGCCAACGACCAGUAUUUACCCCCGUUCGUCGUCGUCGAUGAAAGCGGAAAACCUGUUGGGCCCAUAGUGGAUGGAGACGCUGUUGUGACAUUUAACUUCAGAGCUGAUCGAAUGGUGAUGCUCGCAAAGGCGCUAGAGUACGAGGACUUGGACAAAUUCGACCGUGUCAGAUUCCCGAGGAUUCGCUACGCCGGUAUGCUUCAGUAUGACGGCGAACUAAAGCUCCCAAGUCAUUACCUUGUUGCUCCCCCGGAGAUAGAGAGGACGUCCGGCGAGUACCUGGCGCACAAUGGCGUACGCACCUACGCUUGCAGGUACAUACUUUUGUGCUGUAUAAAGAGCUUCUAUCUCUGAACAUUCUGGUACUUGAGCAUGUCUUGUGGUUUUGACCUGUAGCGAGACAGUGAAAUUUGGUCAUGUCACCUUUUUCUGGAACGGGAAUCGGUCGGGCUACUUCAACCCAAACCUGGAAAGGUACGAAGAAAUUCCCAGUGACACUGGUAUACCCUUUAAUGUACAGCCAAGAAUGAAGGCCGUGGAAGUUGCAGAGAAGGCACGGGAUGCCAUCCUCAGUGGCAAAUUUGAUCAGGUACUUGGCACAAUGAGAUCCUCCUCAAGCAUAAAUCCAUGCAUAUGCAUAUGCAUGUGCAAGUAGACAAAUGAGAUACUCAUUUGUAACUGUUAAUUGGCAACUACGGUGAGUAGUAAAACAGAGUGAUGUGGUGGUUUUGUAGGUACGGGUAAACAUCCCGAAUGCAGACAUGGUUGGGCACACAGGUGACCUUGAAGCCACCAUCGCUGGGUGCAAGGCCGCUGAUGAAGCCGUCAAGAUUAUUCUUGACGCCAUUGAACAAGUAGGUGGCAUCUUCGUGGUCACCGCUGACCAUGGCAAUGCCGAGGACAUGGUGAAAAGAGACAAAUCCGGGAAACCGAUUCGCGACAAAGACGGGAAUGUGCAGCCCCUUACCUCACACACACUGAAUCCAGUGAGUGCACAUUUCAUCAUCAGACGCCCGGUGCUAUGUAUAUCUAUAUGCACGAGCACGACUGAGUGUCCCGUUCUCAUCGUCUUACUGAACCCGGCUGCAGGUCCCCAUCGCCAUCGGAGGUCCAGGGCUUGCGCCAGGGGCUACAUUCCGGGAGGACCUUCCGGAUGCCGGGCUCGCUAACGUCGCGGCGACACUCAUCAACCUCCAUGGUUUCGAGGCCCCUCGUCACUAUGAGCCAACUCUCAUCCAAGUCUCGCCGGUUCCCUUCUGAAUCCGUCAUCUGCCGUUCCCCUUCCCUUUCUGUGAUUGGCGCAGCCAUGCUUAUGUCUACCUAGUAAAUAAAUGUCCACCCAUGUACCACCAUUUUCUUUCUUUCUUUGAAUUGAUGUCCACUUCUGUUUCUGAAUCCGUCCGUGUGUGGUGAUACCGUACCCAUAUGUAGUAGGAGUAUCUAUUUUGUGCCUCUUUUUCCUGGGUUUAGGUUUGUUGGGAGAGCGCUUCUGACCUUUGUAAUCAUGCAGCGUUUUCAGGAUGAUUGCUUGGCACGCUCCAAAUUCAGUGAGAAUUAAUUUUUUACGCCAAAUACGUAGCUAAAUGAGAACUUGGAACAAGAAGUCGCCUUCAGAGUUUUAGCUUUAAAAAUCCCAGAGGUUCGCGACACCAACAGUAGAUCAUCAAUCAGUUCUAGUCAAGCUGCCUGAUAUAACCAACUAGCUGGAUGCAGUUAAAUCUGUUUUUUUUUUUUUUUUGCAGCAGUCAUCAGUCAAGAUCACCCGCAAAAAAGAAAAAUAGUAGUACCAGUCAAGAUAACAUACCGGUCAUCUAAAACAACUCAGAAAAAUACUUAAAAGAUGUACAGCAAGACAUGAGCAAAGUAAUGAUAUGCGGACCGCUAAGGAGAAGCUAAUAUCGAAGAGCAGGAAAGCAGAACCGGACACAAACAACCUGGCUCCGUUCUCAACAAUCAGUCACCUCAAUCCAUUUUUACAUCUAACGUAUAACAACGCAUGCUAUCUAUCGAAGCUUUGACUCGUUGGUUUUGCUGCUCCGGAAGUUUGAGAGGGAGAAGAAUGACCUUGAUGCUGCUGCAAGUACAAAGAGGCACAAACAAAUGUAUUAGUGGUGCUUUCACGUCUACUCAACUCUAGUACUCCCUCUGUUCCGAAUUACUUGUCUCGGAUAUGGAUGUAUCUAGAACAAACAUACAUCUAGAUACAUCCAUUUCUACGACAAGUAAUUCCGAACGGAGGGAGUAGAUACAAGUGACCAUAAUUUUGUUUGGGUAAAAGGAACUAGCCUUUAGUUGACGGUGCAGCUCCAGGCCUGUCCCGUAGCCUAUCCGAGCCUGUGGCAUUGAAGCUGCUGGCCGUUGAUUGAGCUGAAAAACAAGAGGUUUAGAUUCGACAAGGUAGACCUGCAAUUUUAUUCAUAGGAAAAUGAAUAACUACGUGUAUUUCAUAGAAACACAUAACGGUUAUGUUUAUGUAGAUUCGCUUUGCGCUAUCAUAUUGUCGAUGUUACGUUGCGGCGCGCUGUGUAUGACCAUCUUGGAAGGAACUUUAGAUGUAAAAUACUGAGAGCCUCAAGCACUAAAGUAUGAGAUGCUUUCUGCUUGAAAACUACAGCAUGUAGGAAGAGAAGCUCCCGCUGAAUUAUGGCUGUAGAAGUACCUGAUAAGACGCUAUUAGUCUUGGAACCAUCAAAAGUUCUCCUGCUGGAAUUUACACCGUCACCAGCACCGGAUUCUUCUUGUUCAUCCUCUCCAUCAGAAACCACAGAUGGGCUGGCCAAACCAUUAGUGUUGUUGUCUCCUUUGUUUUUCCGAGCAAAUUUAAGAAGUCUCUUGAAUCCUUUUGGAGAAUCUUUAUGAAAAACUAUUGCGGGUGGGUUUUCAGCAUUUCCCCACUCGAUUAUUUCUGGUUCGUUGCUAUCUGCUUGCAACAUUUGUGACAACGAAUGACGGAUUCUUGGGCUUGAUGACGGCAAUGGUUCAAUUGCUGGCGAGGUGACAUCCUCGCCUGUCACGCUUUCACCCACAUCAGUAACUUCUUGAUGAUCCACUUCAACCCAGGCAGCUGAUGAGAUGUCCAUGUCCUCGUCAAGAGGUUUGACCUCAACGACAGAGGGCUCAACCUGGUCACUGGGGCCCAUUUCGGCUGCGCUUAAACUCGAGCCCGGGUUUUCUGUUUUUUCAACAUGUAAGUCAUUAUCGAUCGAAAUUUCUAAAUUUUCAUCAACAUCAUGUGCUGGUUGAGCAAGAUCAGCCUCUGGUACCUUGGUAGUUGGCUCGGUUGUCACAGGAGAUUGCUCCUUAUCUUCCGCACGGGUAACAAUUCCACUGCCCUUUGAAGAAUCACCAAGCUGCGGCACUUUACUCUUAACAGCACCAGAACCAACACCUUGACUAAUCCCAGUGGCUUUCUUCACGGGUUUGGGUUCUACUGGUACAACACUGCUUUUCUUUGGGACCUUGUUAUACAUGCCUGACUUUGUCAUUGCACUUGAUUUUUCUUCUGAUGCAGGUGAACUUUUUGCCACUCUGCUCGGCUUUGUUGCUGUCCUUGUCUUCUUAUCUUCCUGCCCCUUAAUGGCUGGCUUUGUCGCAGUCACAGGUUCCUUCUUGUUCUUCACUGCUGGAAGGGGUUUCUCCACCUUUGAAAUCGGCUGAGGUGCCAAGGAUGCUGUCGCGGUCCUUCUCCGGCUAGUUGGUGUCGAUGUUGAAACUGCUCCAGGAGAGUUUUUAGUUUUCUGUGCAGUACUACUAGUUGCUUUAGUCAAAGAUCCUGACCAUGAACUACGGGUAGCUGGUGCAGGUGAUGGUUUGGGGGAACUUUUUUUUGCUGGUGUCUUUGAGAUCACUUCCUUUGGCAAGACUGGAGGUGAUGAAUUUCUCCUUGCCCUUUGUGGAAUAGGUGAGUUGCGCUUCUCUGUUAUGAUGCUAGUCUUGGGGGUAACUGCUGCUCUGUUCUGCCCAACGGAUUCCUUCAAGAGCUUGGUGCUCGUCUCCUUUGCUGGUCGCUUUACACCUUUCUCUGUUCGAACCUUCGUGUCUCGCUUCUCUCUUUGAAGUCCGCCUUUCUUCUCACUUGCAGAAAUGAGCCCGGUAGCAGUUACAUUGGCGCCUGCAAACUUCCCAGGCAUGACCUCCAUCAUUUUCAUUAACAUCUGAUUAAGUUCGGCUUCCUUCUGGCGAUUCCACUCAGCAGAGGCCAUUGCCCUAUCACUGUUUGACUCCUGCCCAGAAUGUGUUUGUUCAGCAGAAAUGUUACUGUGGGAUGAGACCACAUUUUCCAUGUCCGACACUGUGAUGCCAUGGCCAUCAGCAUCGUAACUUCCUGCCUCAGGUGCAACUACACUGUUUGGCGCUGCAUCUGUCUCAGCCUGUAAUUCAGCUUCAUUCUUCUCUGCAUCAGAUGCCAUAUUGUUAGAUUUGCUUUGAGAGGUAGAAUCUGAGGUCUUUUCUCCCGAUGUAUUGCUGUUCAAAGAGUCACCCAUUCCUGAACUCCACCGACGCAGUACAGAUUUGGUCGCGACCAAGCCGGCUUUCUUACUUUCAGAAUCCAGAUUCUCACCCUUCUGCUUCUUCUCGAAAAGGCUAAUCGCAUCUUGCACGCUCAUUCUUCUUACAUUAUUGUCGGAUCUCCUUGGUGGCUGGUCUGUUUCACCAUUGCAGCUGCUUUCAUCAUCUUUAUCCAAAGCAACUCUCUGGCUAGGAGGGAAGUAACUUAGGCUCUUGAUGGCAAUUGGCGUUGACCUACGAGAUCCUGAUCUCCCAAUUUGAACCCUUCGCAUUGGAGAAGCAGACCUCCUAGGAGAAGCAGAUCUCAUAAGGGGGCGGCUUCUUUCAACAACAGCUUCAUCUUCAUCGGUGGACUCAGAGGAAUCGUCGCUUUCCAUUGACAUUUUACGUUCAACUUGUGCAAGCUUUGCUGGGGAAACAUUACUGGUGAUAGGCCUUUGGAUAUUGGUUUGGGAACUGAUAUCACGAGUCUCAAGUGCAUCAUCCUUUCUCUCAGCAGUAGAAGCUUGGUGUGGGGGUAGCACAGAGGGCUGGCAAUCCCGGAUCAACAGUAGGCACCUCACCAACCAACUAAAGCAAAACGAUAAAUGAUGACAAUUAGCUUCUUGUAUCACACAAAAAAAAGUACAAUGGAAUGACCUUGUAGAAAUGAUCUAAUUGUGUGNNNNNNNNNNNNNNNNNNNNNNNNNNNNNNNNNNNNNNNNNNNNNNNNNNNNNNNNNNNNNNNNNNNNNNNNNNNNNNNNNNNNNNNNNNNNNNNNNNNNNNNNNNNNNNNNNNNNNNNNNNNNNNNNNNNNNNNNNNNNNNNNNNNNNNNNNNNNNNNNNNNNNNNNNNNNNNNNNNNNNNNNNNNNNNNNNNNNNNNNNNNNNNNNNNNNNNNNNNNNNNNNNNNNNNNNNNNNNNNNNNNNNNNNNNNNNNNNNNNNNNNNNNNNNNNNNNNNNNNNNNNNNNNNNNNNNNNNNNNNNNNNNNNNNNNNNNNNNNNNNNNNNNNNNNNNNNNNNNNNNNNNNNGAGGAUAAGUUUGUAGUGAUUUUUGCAGCAUACCUAAACUCUGAUGUCCCAAAAUGCUGAACAAAACCAGACAAAUCUGAUACUUCUUUAUUCAACAACUUAGAGCCAACUGCUCGACUCAAUAAUACCAAGAUUUCUUCUUUCAGUGCUGAUAGCCUCAAAUCCAGUGCUCGAAGUAACUCAUUCCUUCAACAUUUAGUUAUAGAAAAUGUCAACUAAUAGAUGGGAAAAAAUAGUGACAGAAAAAGGAAAAAGAAAAGGCUUUACUUUGUAGCCACUGAGGAGUUUGGGCCAAUAUUUCCCUGAAAGUAAUUUUGAGAACUAAAAUGUGAGCAAACAAAACAUAAAAAUGCACAAAAACAUAAAGCCAUCAGAAGUUUUGCACAAAUGGAAAUUACCUGCUGUGGUUUGCCAACGGUGCUGGAGAGACCACCUGCAAAUUAGAAUAUCAUCAUAAACUGAGCACUCUACCAACAUUAGCCAGAAUAAGACAUUCUGUAAAGAAAUCCCUUGCCAUCCAUAGAAAUUGCUUGUACUAAGUCAAAACUAAAAACAGUUACCUAUAGGUUUUAGUGCUCAAUUUUUUUAAUAGAGUGUUUUCAUUUGCAUUGACGCGCAUGCAGAAAUGUGAAGUGUGAACAUUUUCAACAAACCCAAAGAUAAUAUUUUAGAGCAUCAAAACAUUUUAUGUCAGACCAAAUGCCUCGGGUUCCGAUUUUUUAAGUCAAAAGAAGGGUUGAACUUAUCCAAUUAGAGAAAAUAGUGUCUGCCAAAAUGCAUUUGCCUAUAUAAAUCACGUGUGAGUGCAAGACAGCAAUUUUUAUUAUGUUUUCAUGUCUUUGACAGAUAGAUAAUUUCUAGAAUUUGCAGCAGGCAGCUAAUUUCUUCUAGUGAUAGGCAAAGAAUCAUGGGUACGAUAGUAGGAUUCGUUAUCUAUGGACACAAGCAAACAAAAUGGAUGGACCAAGGAAAAUAUGUCAAUGGCCUCAAUGCACCAACAAAGUCUUAAAGAUAUCAAAACACAAUGCACCAACAAAGUCACCAACUAAAUAGUCAAGGAACCAACUAAAGUCACCAAUGAAGUACUGUGAUUCAUCAACCAUUUGAGUGUUAUGCUUGAUAAAAAAUGUGAUUUCAACCAGGGAAUGAGUAACAGGCUCUAAGAGUAGAACUAAACUGUUAUUAAGUCCAUCACUCAUAGCACUAAAAUGGUAAAGUGAAUCCAAAAUUUGAUUAGAUAGGCUUCAUAAAAAGGAGACAAAAGCCAUAUUGCAUACAGCCAUACAUGCUGAAAGGUUGUGAUGGCUUUCGAGUACAAAGAACAAUGGAAGAAGCAAGACUUUCUUUGAAUGUACCUGUCAAAGCACCACCCAUAAGAUUUUGUUGUUCCUGCAUAAAAAAUGGAUUUUGUUAUUUACGGCGUCUGCUGUUUUUCUAGAUAAGAACUGAACUUAAAUGUGCAAGCAAACUUAGCACAGAAAAUUUGUUUUACUUCUUUUGGGACAAAAUUAUGAUACCUUGGACUGUAGAUAAUCAUGAAACUUUCUAGUUUCCUCCAGCUGAGACAUUUCCUGUAAAAUUCCAUUCGCCGUUUUGGAUGCAUCAGGCGAAUUUAUGAUAUGUAGAAAUCUGGUAGGGAUGUUCAAUUUAGUUACGAUUACAACUAUAAAAAACACAAGUAACUAGAAAAAGGUUAAGGUGAAAGACCUCUCUAAGGUGGAUUUUGUGAACCAGGUAGAGCCUUUUGCAUCCCCAGCCAAUAACAGCUUAAAAGAGCCACUUGAUGAACGUGAUUGGAAAUUUUUGGCAUCUUCCAAGUGCAGGACUAGUUGGUCGAAAGGACCAGAUGCUACUGGUUCGGCACUCUCUCCAUUACAAGCAAUUGCCUCAUACCUGAUGAAGGAAAGGUUUCACAAUACUGGGCGGGUCAGAAUUUAUAUCAGAGAUUGUGAAUCAUAAAAGACUCAAUAUGGCAUAUCCAUGAAACAGUUUUCAGCCAAAUGCAGCGACGAAAAUCUGAAGCACACUUCAUAAGCUCAAUCACGGUGAACAGAGUGCUUCACCUGUUCUUGGUCAAUGACACUUGGAACACUGCAGAAUCAAGCUCCACGUCGCCAGCAACUCUCCCCUCCAUUUUGCCCACAACUACAAGCACAGCAACCCUCUAUAGAUCGUAUCUGCUCCUUGUCCACUUCAAAUACCUGUCAACGGGAAUAUCAGCAGAAACGUCACCAACCUUGCAAAAGGAAACAGAUAACAAAGAAGAGAGAUAAUGCUACUGCCAAGGUCAGAAACGCUAAUAUGUCAACAUCUAUAAUAAUAAGUGAUUAAAUGUUCCAUGCCCAAAUAUGCAGGUUACUUUUCAGCAUGAGGGUACCAACCAAGCAUAGAGCAAACUGAUUGUGCAUGUAUCACCGAACCAACUCCACACCUAAGUCAUUCAUUCCGCUCGAUUAUGUUCCCACAGCACAGACAAACUUAUAGGCUUCUAUAGCGGUAAAAUAGCAUGUGGUACGAGUGUAGUAUGCCUCAAUUUCCUUAGUUAACGCAAUCAGAUUCAUAGAUCAGAGAAGCAGAAAAGCAGAUACAAUUCAAACCCAAAAGACAAAAUUCUAGUACCAUCAGUGCAGAUCCUUCAUCAUCAGAGCUACCAAACUAAGCACUGGACGCAUUGAAUCCGAAAUGGAGGGUUUCUAAGCGAUCGAAAGUUUGGAGCCCGCGGGGGCUCCCGGAUCCAAAACCCCAAAAUCCCUCGCAGACAAAAAUCCAAAGCCCUAGAGAUCCAGGCAGGCCAACUCCACUGAUUCCUGGCUCCUAUGGCUCGCCAAAAAACAGAACGGAAGAAGGCGGAUCCAGAUUCUGGAGGCGACAACGCCCGCUCACCGACCCACUGCCUCAAGCUUCGAGCUCAAGCAAGCCACCCCCACCCAGGUCCGAGGAGACCGCAGCAAAAACACCCGAGAAAACUAAGGCAGGGCAGACGAAUGCCUCACCAGAUCAAGCGGCGGCGGCCUCCGCCUCCCGCAUUCGAUCCGGCGCCGCGCCGACUGGAUCGAGGGCUCGGAAGUGAUGGAGAAUUUUUGUUCCGUGAGUCGCUCCUUUUUUCGCUGGGGGCAGUUGCAGUUGCAGCAGCGAGUGGGGGAAUGGACGCCAGGAGAAGGCACAACUGCGGAAUGCGGGGUUUAAAUGACUGAGGGCCAGUUGAGGAACUGACACUGGGUAUUGCACUUAUUUACUGUCCCGCCACUGGCCUGGUGUUUUGUGUACCCGUGGAGUGCGCUUGCGGUUUCAAAAGGAGGCCGUCGGUCGGUGGGACGCGUCGGGAGAAUUUACCAUAACGCCCUUCCGGGGAAUUAUAGGUAGGAAACGUACUCCGCUUUUGCGCGCGCUGAUUUCUUUUUUGUUUAAGAAAUCUGAUUGACAAUUCCGACGAAAUAUUGAAAUGAAUAGUAACAAUAAUACAGUAUUGGGGAUUGCAUCAUUCAAAUUUAAAGCACAUGCGAUGGAGAAUAUCCGGCAAGGAGAAUGUUGAGUAAUUAGCAUUAUUCUGUGUAGAAUGACUAAACUUAGGUUGGCAUAGUGGUGAGUAACUUGGACUAAUGGCAUGUAUAUAUUACUAGUCUAUGUUACUAUUUUUAUAGUAGGUAGUAACAUAUGGAUGAUAACAUGUAAGUCUUUCUUAAUUGAGAUAUAGACUCAUUUUACCUCGGGGUGUGUUAUGUUACAGUAACAUAUUAUAUUACCACAAGCAUCUCUUUUCUCAUUAUUAACUCCAUGCCACAUAAGCAAUUUUUUCUUGGGGUGUGCUAUGUUACUACUACCUCCGUUUCAGUUUACAAGUCCUACGCGUAUACCUAGAUUGUCAAUUUUAUCACCUUAAUAUAAACUACAUAACACAAAAAUUAUACGGUUUGAAAAUAAAACAUCUGAAGUUUAUAUUGAUAUACUUUUUAUAAUAUAUGACGUGUAUUAGGUUGGUCAAAUUGACGACCUAGGGGCACGCACACGCCCUGUAAACUGAGAGAGAGGUAGUACUUAAGUUACGCCCACUAUGGCUAGCCUUAAGCAGCAAUUAGAUUCAUACUCCCUCUUUUCCGGUUUAUAGAUCUUAUCUCAAAAUUUUAGUUUUUUCAUUUUAUAAGGCUCAAUUUGGUUGUUCCCCGUCACAUGUUCAAAUUCCAAAAUAUAUUAAAUCAUUACAUGCAAGUAUUAAAAGAAAAUUGACCAAUACAUAUACUUUAUGCAUGCAUGUAUUGCAAUUAAUACAUUGGUAAACAUAAUUUUUUGAGAAAAACAAAAGCAUUAAUUGUGUGUUUUGCAAACUACAAAAAGUAUUCCACCACUCACCAUCUACCUUGAUUGGUGAGAUUUUUGAAUUAAGCUCUGUAAACCAAAAAGGAAUGAGUAGUUCAUAGUACAGAACCUUGAACUUGUAGGUAAAUUAUGUGUUCAACAAAUUCAAACACCAAACUCUAAAACCCCAGUAAUUGCAGGUCAAUUGGUGGAAAAAUUAUCUGCACAUCGAUUUGAUCGUGAUUUUAUGGUCAAAGCCACAAGGACACCCAAAACCCACCGUUUGCGUUUGUGAUAGCAUCGUAUUGAAGGAGCAGCCGAAAGAUGCGUGUGGUUUGUGCGUAUACUACUACAUCGUAUAUGUACAUGGAUGUUUAUGUUGGCGUAAUGGACAUUAUCUAUACUACUAUUAAACAAGCAAACAUAUUCAUUGCUAAGUGCACCUAGCCUAAGCUACACAAAACAUCAUGGACCAAUUACAACCUCAUGAUCAGAUUACUUAAUUAGAUCUAACCAUUAAGAUUAGACUAACCCUCAGGCAAAACUGCGCUUAGCAAUUUUCCUCGGCGGACGAAAACUCUACCGUCCCACCUCUGCAAGCCCUACGAUCACGCAAGCCAUAAAAACAGGAAACUGAUCGCAAUCAAAUCGCCUCAAAACAACUACCCCGCGACGCAUGCCACCUGCCUCUGCCCGCCGGAUGCUCCUACUCCCUCGAGGGUCGCCGCCUGACCCUCCUCCCCCGCCACCGUCGAUGCUUGCCUUGCCUCUCUUUCCCUUGUCGCCAUUGAUCUGUGUUGGCCUCCGCCCCCGCCACCGCUGGCCGGCCUCUCCUUACGCACAGGUCACCACCCACCGCUCCUUCGUUUGGCCGCCGACCGAUGCAAGUGGCUGUACACCGCCACUGGCCUAUCCUUGCGCGCAGGUCGCACACUCAGGAAGAACGCGAUGAAGGAGUAGGUGAAGGACAUGAUAACGGCGAUGAUGGAGACAAAGGUGGCCGAUCUCCAGGCCCGGGAACUAUGAGAGGACGAGCUCGACAAGGCGGAACAUCACCAGGUACAUCGCCCCAUCCUGCUGCAGUUCGCGUCGUGGCCCUUUUAAUGGCGGCAGUUGCUGGGCAC
This 67999-nucleotide long non-coding RNA is filed under the name Triticum aestivum (bread wheat). Its description in RNAcentral is "long non-coding RNA (TAES_LNC001331)". The stretch from base 59197 to 59311 matches the Rfam family "MIR1120/MIR1122 microRNA precursor family". Lineage: Eukaryota; Viridiplantae; Streptophyta; Magnoliopsida; Poales; Poaceae. The record is from RNAcentral.